This 46671-nucleotide long non-coding RNA is filed under the name Elaeis guineensis (African oil palm). RNAcentral describes it as "long non-coding RNA (EGUI_LNC005487)". Lineage: Eukaryota; Viridiplantae; Streptophyta; Magnoliopsida; Arecales; Arecaceae. The record is from RNAcentral.
GGGCCAAUUUUAUUUUUUGUAACUGAAUUGACUUAAUCUUUGUGAUUGGAUCCUUAGCCUAGUGAGGAUAACAAGGCUCGAACAGGAGAAGUAUGUAACAGCAUGUGUGAGCAAGGUUCGCGGACUUAGUAUCCGAACCCAUGCCGGCUAGCCGGCAGUACGGGUUGGUAUGGAUCCAUAUUGGACCGGACUGGCGCAAACUGACAUAGAGGAAAAGAAGUGAACCGGGAGGAGGAAAAGAGAGAGAGGAGAGGGAAAGGGAAGGAGAGGGAGAGAGAGUGUGGCCAGAGGAGAUGCUGGCAGUGGCCACAGAUGGGCCAGCAAUGCACUCAGAGGCCCAUCAAGGCUCCGCUUCAUCCGUCGAUCCUUAGUCGAGAGAGAGAGAUAGAGAGGGGGGAGGGAAAGCCGCUAGAGAGGCCAUUGGAGGGCCUCUGGAUGGUGCAAUCGCAGGCUCCGACGCCGCGAGCAUGAAAUAAAGACUAUUUUUUAAAAAACCCCAAUUACAGUGAAGCCGGCAAUGGGUUUGUUGAUUUCACUGUUUGCCGGCUUCAGUAUUCAUCUUUCUUUUUAGAAAAAUCCGACGAGUGAACGAGGAUGGUCACUCCUGUUUUGCAGCCGCAGCUCCAUCCAUACGUUUUCCAUCGCCCGGUGGCCACGGCGACCACCCGACAACUUCCAAUGCCCCUGCACCAGUUACUCCUCCCUCCGAUAUGGUCGCUCUCCCUCUCUCUUCCUCUCUUUCUCACUGGAUUAAAUACACUAUCGGGCGACGUCAAGCCAUGGAGGCCUCUGCAGCCCUCCAACAGCCUCAACGGGCCACGGCCAACCUCCGAUGGCGUCAUGCCAUCUCUCCCUCCCCUCCUAUCUCUCUUCCUCUGUUUUCCUCUCCCUCUGGUGUACCAUUUUCCUCAGCCAAACCAUCCCGAUUUGCCGUCAAGAUGGCUCGAAACGCCCUGAACCAUUCGAUUCGGGAUGGUUCGGUGUUCCACAUGUGCGAGCGUCUGUCUAGUUCCCAAUCAAUUAUGCAAGAAGACCUUGGGUAUAUAUACAGAGCCAAGGAACCCAAAUAAUACCACCUUCUCACUAGCCUUUUUAGCUGAGGUCCUAGAUCAUUAUAAGAGGUAUUGACUCAAAAAAUGAUUGGUUUGAUCAAACCCAGAAUGAUUCCAAUGAUUAAUUGUUAUAACUAUAAUUUUAAGCAGUUCUCACAAAUAGAACUUUUUUAGCUAAAAUGGGUUUAAGAGCAUAUCCAACCACACAUUAGUAGGUUCACAGUUCACCAAGUUCAUUGGCCGGUCUAGUCAAUUUUCAAAACAUUGCUACCAACUAGCAUUAGUACCAGGGUCUACCAAAUCAGUUCUAGGGCUUGCACCAGCCGGCGAUCAAUUUCUUACCAUAAGGGUCAAUACUAUGUCGUUCUGAGACACAUCAAAACAAGGGAGCCAAAAAGAGGGGGCGAGGGAGGAGAGAAAGGGAGGUUGAGGGAGAGAGAGGUUUGAACCAUCACUAGGGACCUUCAAGAGCCCUGAAUCUGACAAUGGGGACCAAGAGGGAGAGGGAGAGGGAGAGGGAGAGGAGAGGCUGGGACAGAGAGGUUCAAGCCAUCAUGAGGGAGCUUCAAGAGCUCCAAAUCCGACAAUGGGGACGGACAUAAAGAGGGAGGGAGAGGAGGGGGAGGGAGGGAGGGAGGGAGAAACUUACUUGGGUAGGGACCUCAUCGUCAUCGUCAUCAACUCGAUCAGUGCAGAGGGCUUUGGUGAUAGGGUUUCCAAAUAGACCAAGGAGAGAAGCUUCAAGAAGGGGAGGGGCGAAGCUCUUAUAUCCCAAAAGGAUGGGUUGAAUCAUGCUGGUGAUUGACCAAUCUGGUUUGGCACGUCUUGAACCAACAGAUUUACAGUUUGGCUAACCUUGAUUAGUACGAACACAGAAAGAAUAUCUUUAUUUAGUUUUUUUUUCUAUUUUCUCAAAACUCAAAUCUAAAUAAAAGUAUCUAGUUUUCAGUAAUAUGCAUUAAGAUAUGAGCUAAAAGUGGUUUUUCUUUUGUUACAAGCAUCGAUCUUUCUUUGAUAUAGUUUUAUUUUUUGGGUAAAAGCUUCAAUUUUCCUCACUUUAUACAAUAAUUUUUAAGUUAACUUUUAUGACCGAAUCAAGCUCACUAUUAAGCUAAGCUCAUCACUGAGCUCACGUGCCUUGAGUGUAUUAACAAGCAAAUCGAUAAAUGAGCCAAGCUUCACAAUCUAAGUGAGCUCGAUCUUCACUUGAUUCAAUUUUCAAGCUUUAAGAAGCUGAGCGUGAGUUGGCUCGAUUAUAUAUGAGUCGAGCCUGGGGUGGGGUUGCCAAGCUCAUCUCAAGCUUGGGUCGAGAUUGAGCUGUGCAAUUUUUCUUUUCAUUUCUAGCCAAACUCAAAUAGAGUUUGCUAGCUCAUGUUUAGCUUAUCUACACCCUUAUGAGCACAGCUCUUUGAAAGCAAUCCAUGCUGAAAUAUGGCAUAUCGCCUCAUUUUUGCAAUUUCGAUAAUGGAGUAUUGGGUGUUAGCACAGUACCAUACCAUACAAAUAAUGUACUAAUGCAAAUAGUACUAGUUAUUCAACCAUUGAUCACGAUUCUUACAAAGUCACGGUGGGCAUAGAUUGGUCACACGACAUCCUUGAAGCAAAUUUUUACUUCAUCCACUCUUUCCAUAUUCUAUCAGACAUCCUCUAUCUCAAUGUUCUUGCAUGUAAAAGAUCCAAGAGUGUAAGUUGAUCAAGUUGGGCUAUCUCAUCACCAUUAGUGCCUAGUAAGGCCAAUUUUUUAUUUGAUUCUACAAAAAACAUUUCUGUAAAUUCCAAUUUCACUUUAGUAACUAAGUUUGGGCCCUAAUCCCCUGAAAACUUCAUUUGCAAUUCCAAUUUUACACAAACCCCUGGACAUAACAGCAAGUCACAUAACACCAACAAACUCCUGAGCCUCAGUAACAGGAUCAUUUAUGACGCAGCAAGUUAUGCACUUGAGAGUCAAACCUUGGUGUUGCCACAAGUGCACCUUCAAAAGUCACUUAUACAUUCCCUAGUAAAUAGACAUAACAAGGUAAAAAUGAUGAACCAUGUCAUAUGAUCUUCCAACCUCAUUCAUAAGAUUCAGUUCAAUUUUGUGAGCCACUUUAUCAAGGGUCAUGUCUUCUAUUGAUGCAAGCAUCCCUUAAUACAAGAAAGUUAAAAGAACAUAUUAAUCUUAUUUAGGAUCAUAUCAAGUUAGCAAGCACAACUCUAUCGUUUCAAUAUGUUUGUGCUGUACACCAAAUCCUGGAGAACCUGGAGUCUGAUCGAUGUAGAGCAAAAGAAAGCCUCGCUAACAAGAAUGAUCUACAAAAUGCUAGGAAUGCAACUGCUGAUUUUGAACUGAACUAUCUAUCUCCACAUCAAGCUUGCUAGAUAAAAAGUAAACUAGUAAAUAAAUUGCAGCAGUGAAGAUCAAGGCAUCCAAUACUUUGCUCUUAUAACAGAAGCAUAAAUCACAAAAUAAAAGGUUUGUAGGAGAGUCAGAAGUUCAUACCUUGCAACUCCUAUGAACAGCUGGGUGUUUAAUGAAGACUUAAGGAAAGAACAAGACCACGCCUAAGAAACACUCUAAAAGCAAUAAAAUUUGUGCAUAAUGAAUGAAUUAAAGGAUACAAUUGAGAAAAAGAUAAAUCCAACGUGUGACCAGCUAUGUUGUUCCAUAGCAAUAUCAAAACCCAUAUAUAUAAAUCUGCAGGCCAAACAAACUUAGUAAGAAAAGUUAAUUGUAAAGUUGGUCUAGAAAUAUAAUUAACAUUUAUAAAGAAAUAUAGGUGUUUACUGAAGAUAAUGACGUGAUUCAUAUGAGAAUUUAAUAAGCAUUAAAAUAAUCAUUCAUGUGACAAUAUCUUACACAAAAGUUUCUGCCAAUGAUGAUAUAAGGUGGAAAAAAGCAGUAGCAAAACGUUGAGAGUUUUCUGAUAAAUUUGAGAAGGUAUAAUGCUUCAUGACCUGAAAAGAAUGGAAAGAUAAAGAAUCUUGAAAACAUUUAUCACCAAAUAUGGAUAUCUGUACAGGUUAACAGGUAGAAAAUGUACUUACAAUUCCAGUGAACAAUAUAGAAACAAUUCCAGACAGGCCAAGACCUUCUGCUAGCAUGUAGCUAGAGAGAAUAAUCAAAAAUUAGCAAAUUAUGACUUUCAGAUGCAACUGAAUGUAGAAAUAAGAAUUCAGUAUUGGCUUACGAAAAGUAAGGGAAAAGGACAAACAGACAGCACUCCAAAUUCUGAAGGCUGGAAGAACAAACAAUGUCAUUCAGUACUUUUUAUAGCUGCCAACCGUUAUGAGAAGAUUGAAAAAAAAUAAAAAAUCAAAGGAUAAGAAAAGAUAACUGCCAUACUUACUUGUCAAUGUCCAACCCAGCAUACUUAAAGAGGUACCAAGUGGUUAAGGUUUUUCAAUAUACUUUAUUGCAGAGAGAAUAAAAACCAAAGUACACAUCCUCGUUAAAUUUAUCACAAUAUAUGCAACAAUAUUGAAUCUUAUGAAGAGACAAGGUGCAUGGACCAGCUAUAUCUUGUUAUGCAUCAUCCAUGAUGAAAAGUUGCAAGCACACCUGUUACCCUCCAAAAUAGAUUCCUGAACAUUUUCUUUAAUCAUUAAAAAUCUGAUCAUGAUAAUAUACAAAGCAUUAUAUAUGUUCAUACAUAGCAAUCUAGCAUAGAUAAAAAAUGGGUUCAAAAGGAAUCUAAUUCCUUGAGAAUGCAUGUACAGACCAUAAAGGCAUAAACCAUCAAUCAGUAGACAGCUAAACUACUUUUUCACUCUCCUUGUUUCAUCUCUUAGGAACAGAAUUCCAAGAGCAAACUUUCAAUUACAGCAUAUGCACAAGAGAAUGAAAAGCAUCAACCUAGAUCACCAAAUCACAGCUAAGUUUUCUUUGCAUUGCUGCUUUAUCAGUUGCACUAUUUAAAUAACCGUGGGGAGAAUAUUUCCCAUGCUGUUCUCUAGACAUGAUUCCAAGUUUGGAACUUGAUGCUCAAUCACAUCUUUUGACAACAUCUAGAUCCAUAAUUUGUCGUUCACCUGCUCAGACUAUUAGUAGUUCUACUUUAAGAACUAAACCUACAUAGAAUUUUCCUACUUGGAAGGCCAGACGUUUAAGAAAAUUGGAUAAACAAUAAUUGACCUAGGUGCAGAAUCGCUCCACUCAGUGUUAUCUAAUUGCUUAAGCAAUAUUCCAAUCUUGGGUCAGAUAAGAGUUCGCAGGAUUCUGUGUGAUCUCAGCUUAUUAGUCUGGCUUACAUAACCAGAGUUUAUUAUAUUUGGUUCUGCACUGCAUGUUGAACUUUUAAUCAUCAACCUACUUCAUAUCAAGGGGACAUCAGACCAAAGGAUCAAGAUCAUUCUAAAUUUUUAUAAGAUAUAAUAUCUCGGAGGUUACUUCCGUUAGAGGGUAUAUUGAUGCAUUUUUUUUUUCAUGGCAGAAAUACUUCAAUUUAAUGUCAUCCUCGUCUAAUGUCCAGAGCUUUUAGUUUUAUAUUACCUCUCUAUUUGCCAAAUCUAGGAAAAUUCUUAAUCCAAAGUUUCACAGUUGUUGAUGACACCAAGGUAUCACAUCAUGCUACUCUCUCUGUUUAUUAACUUUGUGCCUUGAUAUUUCAGUGCAUUUCAUCAGCUAUACAAUCUGCUUGGAACAAAAGCAACAGCUAUAGUUGAGGAAAACCCGGCUCUACAUGAGCCCACACUUGUGAUCACUUCUCUCUACGAAUAGUGGCUUCAUCAAUCAACAAUGCCCGCAAAUCAAAAAUUUAAUUCGGACAGUCGUCUCAAUUCUAAAGCUCUAAAACUCAAUCAUAUCGCGGAAGAUUCCACAGACAAGACAUGAGUAGAAUGAAACAUCUACCCUUGAUUUUGAACAUGAAAACCAGGUGAAACAAACCACAAUUGCUAAAUAUGAACUCUCCCUGCUGACAUAGUGAAAAGAAACGAUACAGUUUUUUUUGCAAUGAUCUCAGAAAUUCUACAUAUAGCCCACUCUUAAUUUUUGUGCUUUGUAAUUACCGUCCAUUUCAGCAGUUAUAAAAUCUGCUUGGAACCUAAGCAACAGCCAGAGUUCAUAAGAACUUGUAAUCACUUCUCUCUAUGAAUAAUGGCAGUCAACAAUGACUGCAAAUGGAAGAUUGAAUUCAGAAGCUCAUAUGAAUUUUUGAGCCCCAAAGCUUUAGCAUAUCAGUGAAGAUUCCACAGACAAGGCAUGAAUAGAAUGAAACAUCUAUCCUCAGUUUUGAAAAUGAAAACCAGGUGAAACAAACCACAAUUGCUGAAUCUGUCUCCCGAUGAUAUGAUGAAAAUAAACAAUAGAGCUCUUUGCAUUGAUCUUAGACGAUCUAUCCAUAGCUCACUCUUGAACUCAGCACCAGUCAGAUGAUGUUCAUUUGCAUGCCUUUAUGAUAUUAAACAGGUUAUUGCACUUGUUUACAAUAAGAUGAGCCCAUGUCUUACUUCUUUUUUUUUUUUUUUUUUGAGAAAAUGUCUUACUCAUUUAGAGACUCGAUGACUAUGCUUUGUUCAUUGCCUCAUUCAUAGCCCUCAGCUUGGUAAUACAAGCCUCCCUGACAUUAACAACAAUCUCACUAAAAACAUAGUCACUUUCUAAGCAAAAAACAAAAACUAUUGCCAUUAAGAUUUGUUCUGGACUUCUAUCUAUUUCUUGUCCCUUAAGGUUUGUUUGUCGCCCAAGAUUAGUUAUUAAUGCAACAUGAGUGCACCUCAGAUCUUGAUAUUCAAAACUUUGGAACAAAGACCUUAAUACAAGUCAAAUAGUCACAUGAUUUUGUCAAUAUUCCUCAGACAUUUUGCUGAUAUGGGUCCUACCAUUUUCAUCCACCUAAUAGUUGCAUGAUUUUGUCAGUAGUCCUCAGACAUUUCACUGAUAUGGUCAUACGAUUUCCAUCCAGCUGCAUGUUGACAUUCUUCACCACACUAGAACACAAACCCUUGCUAGCUGCUACAUAUUAGUUAUUAAUAGAGGCCAAAUUCCAACAAUGGGUAUAUGGAUCUAUCUGGGUCAUGCUUAGUUCCCACAAUUAGCAUUUUGGCAAUAUGAAGGCAACAAAUUGUACUGAGUAUCCUUCUUAAAUAAUCAUUAUGCCAUUAAAUGGCAUGAAAUCUGGAUUUUUCACCUGUGAAUGGAGAUAUCAAGAUUUAUAUUAACUUUAUCAACCAGGACUGCCUUGGCAGUGGACCCUCUCAUUUUCCUGAACUUAACUGGCUUCCUUGGUAGCAUAGUCUAACACCACAUAGCAAUCUCAAUAGGCUGCUCUUAAGCCUAUAAGAAAUUUCCACAGGGAGUCAGAGAAUAUCCAUUCCUGCUUUUAGGGACUUAAUGUACCCUUUAUAGUAGACCUCAAUUGCUGAUCAAAUCAUGUCAAACAACUAUAGGAAAAAAAAAUUCAGAUCUGAACAUCAAAAAAGUGACAUUAGCAACAAGACAAGCGUAUAUGCAUAGCCCCACAACAUACUCAUGCGCCCAGCAACACACAAGCAUGCAUGCAAGAACAAAAUUUAGUGACCAAAACACCAAAUCUCUGCACCCUCACCCGCACCCAAAAACAAAAAAAAAAAGCACAUACAAACACAGACACUUGCACACAAAACACCUAAAAAAAAAUGAAAAAUAAAAAUGCCCAUGGCCACAUGCAUGCAUACACAACUCUGUAAUUUUUGUUUAGUUUCACAUCAUAAGCUUUAGGAAAGGCUUUACAAUGCCAACAGCAAUAUAUGAAGCAAAAAGAAGAAAAUGACUGGAAACAACCAUAGAUUCACCCAUGCAAUUCCUUUCUUCAGCAGACCAGAAACUGAAUUGCUUUGCCUAUAAAUCAAAUAGCUCUAUAAAUUAUAAAAAUGUUGCAUUUUGAUAAUCAGAUUAUUCUAUUUGGGCCUUAAGCAGGCAGAUGUUAUAUCAAAAAUAUCUUCAGCCAACAGUAACUAACAUUUUACAAAAUCAUCUGACUGAAGCAAUAAAAUGAUUUUAGAAAGAAAGUAUCAAAUUAAGAACAAGGAAAUUAUUGCAAAUUAUGUUAGCAACAUAUGAAAGAUUUCAAUAGAAAUAAUACAGUUUAAGAACGGCUAGGAUGGUCAAUAUGCUGGGCCCUGUCCAAGAGCAACCCAAAAAGUACAGGCCAGGGCUUGUGUUUUAACUGAAACCAUGAUGUUUCAAGCUUCAUAUGAGUUCAGGCUGACCGGGUCAGGGCCAUUUGGGGGGUCAAAGAUGCUUAGACAAAUUUGAGACCAACUGGCCCAGCCCAUUGACAAUCCCAUAGAAGACAAGUUACUAGUGCAAAAGUUCCUCAAACAGAACAUUUCCUGAGGAUGACAACAACAUUAACACUAUAGAAAACAAAUUACUUGUGCAAAAGUUCCUUGAACGAACAAACGAACGCACGCAUAAUAUAUAUAUAAGUACAUUAUCCUUACAUUAUCUUUGAUGCCUAAGCUUUCUGACCCACAAAUAUUCUUUUUUGUAUUAUCAUACUUUUUCUGAUAUCAGUCCCUCACUAAGUAUGGCUAUAGCACUUGCUUUUCCUUUUCUUUCCCCCUUCCAAAUUUUCUUUUCCAUAUGCCUGCCUUGUUACAAUAAAUUAUCAGCUAGCUAAAACCUAGUCAUCAAGAAUGGUUCAUAUAAUAUUCAGGAAAAAAUAUAACAGAAAAAAACAAGUAACAGACUUCUCUAUAACUCUACUGAGAACAACUACAAAAGGUAUUAGAAAAGGAUAUAAGAGCAGACGUGAACCCAACUCCAACCCCUGUUAAACAUAGGAUAUUAGUUAAUUGAAAAAUAAAUUCUUCCAAAUUAAAUUACUGGAAUGAAAUACAUAAUUAAGUUGCAGAAAACCAAAAACUUGAGGCAAAUCUAACUCUUAUUUAAUCAGGUAAUUGCCUGAUGGUCUCAACUGCCAAUGACUUACAUGAUAAGAAAUGAUGCAUGAGGGACCAAAAGGUCCGAAACAUACAAGAAAUGCAUAUGAAAGAAAAUAGAUUCAAUAAAUUUAAUGCAAAUCUGUUACUCAAUGGUCACCAGUUGACCAUCAAUUAAUAACCAGAUGUAGUCAACAUAUUGUUUAAUUGAUUGUAACCCAAUGGUAACAGACUAACAGCACUUUGUAAAUGAUUAGAUGAGUCUGAAUUACAGAUAAAACACCUCUCUGAAUAAAUGUAUUAUGUGUACCACAAAUAAUGUCAAAGAACAGUAUGGUUUGUAAGUUUAAUUGAUAGAGAAAACACCAUCUAGAAUUCUAGAUAUUACAGGCUGUUUAUUUAUUUAUAACAUAUUAGCUAAUGAGAGCCUGCUCCAUAUUAUAAAUUGAUUAAUCCAACUCUAAUAAAAGAAAGAUAACGACAUUAUUUUUGAGCAAUUAAUUAUGAAUCUUCAUUCAAGAAAUACAGUUUGCAUAAAUUCCCCAUCAUGUCUGAUGCAAGGAAAACAAUCCAUGCCUCUUUUUUCAAUGUCAAAAAUGAGUCCAAAUAAUAAAUUUAAUAAGCAUGUAGAUAAUAAGAUUUCAUACUAACCAGAAGACAUUGAACCAACAAAUGUCUCAAGAAAUCUCACAACAAUCAUGAAAAAGUUUUGUCCUGAUGAAGCAUGACUUCUGACUGAUGACAUUGUCCUGGAGCAUAAUAUUUCAGUCAAAUAGUGAACAAUAGAUAAGGAACAGUUGUAAGAGCAGGUUUCGAGCACUUUAAGCAAACCUGUACAAGGAAAUCGCCAUCUACAAUGCCAACAAGGAAAAGAUAUGUCAAGCAACAAGCAAUAGCAGUUGACUAAUAUAACCAUGCGUUACUGGAAUUACUGGUUUUCAGACAAUGGAAAUACACAUACUGCAUCAUUUAGAACAGAUUCUCCAAACACCAAGGCAUAGAGGUUCAUAUCAGUGCCAAGUUCCUGCAAUGAUUUAAAUAAGUGACUUAAUGCGUACUGAAAAAAAAUAAGAGUAUGGCUUUAUGUAGACGAGUUGUGUAAAUGAAAACCAUCGACAUGGAGUUUGCAGAUGCCACAUAUAUGAUCUCCAUGUGAGGCCUCAAAGAAUUGCCAUUAUGUCAGAUUCAUAUCGUUUUGCAUACAUCAUAUAAUCCUCUGUCUGUGCAACUAUAUAGAUCUAACGGUCUCGAAAAAGGUCAUACAAAAACAUGGAAAACUCUAUUCCCAGAAAAAGGGAAACCUGAUUCUUCAAGAGAAUGUGAUACAUGGGUCAUAUUAGGCGCAGCAAAUUAUGAAGUUUCCAGGAGUCGAUUUUGUAAAAACUCACUGGAUGGAAGAAGAAACAGAAACAGUGGUGAUCAUCACAAAGCAUACAAUCAAACAACUGUUAAGCCCAAAAUUUUGAUCGUCCACAUAUCACGACAAGCAUGACUACAAGACAUGGAACUAAUCAAAUUGCCUCAGAACAACCUGAGAUGUGGUAUUCUUGGGAGGUCAGCAUUGCAAAAUAAUCAUCCACGGGAUCAUUUUUCCCUGCAUUUACAUUUAUGCAGCAUGCACCAAGUAUAGAAGCAUGCACAUAAAUAUGGCUGCCAAUUUUUUAUUAAAUAAUGUUAUGAAAAUUAAUUAUUUGAAUCCUUAGAAGAAACAUCCUAGAGAAGAAAAUGAAAAAGGGGAAAAAGGAGAAUCUAAAAAGAAUCGCUUCAGUUCACAAACUCGAUCAUGACACAUCCAUUCCUUAUUCCUUUUGAGAUAGGCAAAGGUGGAAAAGAUGGUAAAGUCUCAAAUUAUUUAGACGUUCUUAUAAUUAUAUAUAUUUGGAUAUCUCCUGAAUUUACAGAAAUGCUGCCAUUAAUUUGCACAAUAUGUCACACCUUUCUUGACCAUCCAUAUUUCUCAAACAGAUUUGAUAUGGUUUUUAGCGUGUGUAUACAUGCAUACGUACAUACAUAAUUUGGAUAUCUCCUGAAUUUACAGAAAUGCUGCCAUUAAUUUGCACAGUAUGUCACACCUUUCUUGACCAUCCAUAUUUCUCAAACAGAUUUGAUAUGGUUUUUAGUGUGUGUGUGUGUGUAUAUGUACAUAUACAUAUACAUACAUACAUACAUACAUAUACAUGUAUGCAUGCAUGCAUGUAAUGUAUGUAUGUAUGUAUGUAUGUAUAUGUAUCUAUAAGUAUGUAUAUGUAUGUGUAUAUAUAUAUAUAAUAGAUACAUAUAUAUACAUAUACAUACAUAUACAUACAUAUAUAUACAUAUACAUAUACAUACAUACAUACAUACAUACAUACAUACAUAUAUAUACACACACACACACACACACAUAUACAUAUAUGUACAGCUGAACAGAUUAAAUUACAGGAAAGGUGUUUGUAUGAGAGGGAGGGAGGGAAAGGGUGGGGGGGGGAGGAGAGACUCCCUUCUUGUCCCAUGCUUUCUUCUUUUAACAUAAUCUCAUCAUGAGACUUUGUUCAAAAAUAUGCAGUAUCAGCCAAUUGUAGCAUUCUACACAACAUAUUUGUGUGACAUACACCUUUUUCACCCUUUUUUUGUUGAGAUUAUUAUACCCACCUAUAGCACACCCAAUUUUUCUUCUCAUUCCAUCAAUAAUAUUGAAAACAAGUUGAGUAUAUUAGAAAUGAUAAUGAUAAGAUAGAUGAGUGGAAAAAUUGGAAAGGAUAAAAUAAGAAAUAAAUAAAUUAGAGAUGCUAUAGGAGUUGCACAAAUUAAAGAUGAAGCGAUAGAAAAAUGAUUGAGAUAAUAUGGACACGUACAACAAAGAUUUAAGGAAACUCCAAUAAAAACAGGUAUUUUAGUUUGUGCUAAAGGUUUGUAACAAAAGGAAGGGAAGAACUAAGGUAACAUGGAUGAAGAUUGUUAGGUAAGAUAUGGAGAAACUUUAAAUAACAUCAGAGGUUGCCCUAAAUAGGAACACUUGAAAAAUGAGGAUCCAUAAAACUAACCCCAAAUUUAGGGAAAGGCUAGAUGGUUGUGGUUCUAGUUCAUCAAUAGUAUUAUAAUAAAGCUCUAUUUUUUUUAUUGGAUUAAUAAAGCUCUAAUUUCAACAGCCAUUUACAAAUAAGCAGCAUAUAACCAUCUUUGGUUUGGACAUGUACAACACAGGUUUAGAGAUGCACCAGUAUGGAGUAAAUUGAUAUUUGUAGAAGGAAAGAGGGGCAAAGGUAGAUGAAAAUCAUAUGGGAUGUAGUAGUCAGGAAGCACUUGAUAUCGCUAUGUCUUUUAGAAAGUGUGGCCUUCAACAAAGCAGAAUGGAGAAAAAAGAUUCAUGAAGCCAAGUGACUAAAGCUUAGUUGAGCUGAGUUGCACAGUGUGAUGCUUCGUCCAUUCCCAUGCAUUUAACAAUAUCAAGCAUUUUGCUGGAUUAUUCCCAUUGGUUAUUAUGGCCUAUUUCCUCGAGUCACCAAGGCGGCAAAAAUGUCCAGAUUAUCUCACAUGAGAACAAGAUUGCAAAGACAAUUUUCCUGAUAUAUAUUUCAGAUUUUCUUAUAAAAGUGUGGCAAAGAUGCCAUACCGGACAAAAGCCAAGACGUAAAAAGAGUUUUUUUUUUUGGAAAAGUUAGAAAUCGAUAUGGACCUUGGGAUGCAAUGUCAUUUAACAAAUUCUGGGAGACUGCCCAUGAUUUCAAAUAUGAUAAGAAAGGCUCAGGGUUAAAAUCUAACAGUCUAGCAACCAGCAGACAUGAACUGAAAAUUCAGCAUUGCACUGAUCCUACUUGGUAUGCAAGUACCUAGAAUGACUACAGAGGCUAAAGAAAUUUAAUGGUGGCAUAAAUUUCUGCAUUUUUUCUUGUUAUGAAUUAUGAUGAAUAACAAAUUAACAAACAUCCGUAAAAAGGUGUGAGUUUGUUAUGAAUUUCUAUAGAGGAAAAAUAGCGUGUAAUGAUUGCAUAACUUACUAAUAAAUAUAUCAUUUAAAAUAUUAAGAUGAAUAGAAGGAAAACAUCUACACACCUGGAAUAUGGAUAACACAGUGACAGGAUCUGUCGCUGAUAUGAGAGCACCAAACAUAAGGCAUUCCACCAGUGGCAGUCUAUACAUGAGAAAUGUUAAUCCACCAAGGUAUCUGCAAAGGAAUAACAAGAUAAAUAAACGACUGACAGGAAGUUUCAAAGGAAAUGCAAAUUUGCACAAUAAACAGGAAUCAAGAUUUAAAGGAUGCUUACACUAAUAUCCCCGUAACAAUUGAUGCAACAAAUGUCCCUAGAAUUGCAAACGUGACAAUGGCUCCAAAAUUUGAAAAGAAUGGUUUCUGCCGAGGCCAGUUCGGUAGAUGCAUCACAUAUGCAACUUCAAUGCAAGAACAACAUGCAGAAGAUGAUACAACUCUAAAACACUUACCGGUGCUAAGCUGAACCCUGAUUGAGUACGCUGAAGUUAAGAGAAACAUCACAUAACCCAUGGCAUCAUACAGUUUUAUCUGAUGAACUUAAAACAUAAUUUAAAAAAAGAAAAGAAAAAAUGACUUUGGACAUAGCAAAGAUUGGAUAUAAUAUAAUUGGAGGUAACAAGAAGAGGAAGAAAAAUUCUUCAUGGAAAUUGAACCAAGCCCUGGAAAAGGAAGCAAGCAAUCAGUACAAGAAAACAAAAAAUAUGUUCUAGUUCUUUCAUGCAAAGAAACAUAAAAAAUCACAAACCUGAUGCUGUUUUCUGUGUUUGAAAUGUUAGCAAGUACACCGACAAUUAAACCUGCAAUGAGGGGGAAUGAGUUAUAGAAUCGUAUGAGGUUCUUGACUUUGUUUCUAAACAAUUCCACUCCUUCCAGCAUCAAAAUCCAUAAACUCCAAGACACUGCACAUACUAUAUUGUAUUCCAGCACCUGAUGUAGCCUGGCAUUGAAAUGCUACCGACUAUGUUAUGCCACAUCCAGCACCAGUGUUUGCUGCUCUCAUAUCAAUCUGAAGUUUGAGGAAUCCAAUCCUCAAACUCUUAUAUUUCCUUUCUUUCUCUUUCUCAUUCUUCUAUUUCAGUUCUGAGACUUAUUUCAGAUCAGAACUGAAUGUUUGUUACAUCUAAUUUUAACAAAGAACUGCACCAAAACUGGUAAAACAAAAAAUUAUUUUUCCUAGCAUGAGAAAUUACCUGCCCGUGAGACAUAAUAUAAAGUUUCACAACAUGGUAUUGCAAUAAGAGGACUUGAAAAAGAAGAGGUUGGAAAACAGACACAAUAAUUGUAUAUAAGGUUCUCAAAGAACAAAACAAAAAAAAACUCAACGAGAAGUUGGCUUAAUGAGGUAGUUUAAAAUCUAUAAGUUAAAAUUGAAAUUCAGAUACAUAAUCCUUCAACUGAAUCUUCCACUGCAGGCUUGUAAAAAGCAAAUACCAGUUUGGAUUGGCAAAGUGUUGGAGAUGGAUAUAUAGGUCAAGAAAAACUUAGCUAUUUGGAUAUAAUUAAGACUAUAAAGCCCUGAUUUUAAUUAAAGAAAAAAAUGCUAGGCAUUAUAAAUCCCCAAACACCAAUCAUUCUCAUCAUCUCCCACCUGUAGAGCUACAUUGGGCUUUUCCAAAUCCACUCAAACAAAUUGAACAUGUGUAAGCUUAGCAUUUUGUCAGUCCCUACUAAACAUUUGAUGCCAAUAUGAGCAUCUCUUCUUACCAAAGCCUCCUAAGAUUCAUAUCACUACAUGUCAAUACUAACUUAAAUGGCUCUCCAUCAAUUGUCCUUCAUUAUUGCAACUUAUGUGCCACCUAGAGUGCAAUCAUUCCUCAUCAUUUUUUAAUCAGUUUUACCUUACAAUCAUCUCAACAUUCUCCACCUUUUUUUUUUUUUUGCAUGGGCACUCUAAAAUCUUUUAAGAAAUAAAAGAGUGAUAUCUGGAGAUUUCCUCAAUCAAAGGGUCAGAAUUCAGAUAUCCUCCUUGCCAUAAGGUAUGUGAACAAAGAACAGUAUGCAAAAUUGAGAAACAACAUGGUCUACACCAAGGCUUACAAUGCAUAUUAUAGUUGCUGGCAAGAUAAGACUGCAAAAUGGGACGAGACAAAAAGAAAAAAGAAAAAAAAACUUUUCAAAGGGUGUGGAUAUUUUGUCAUAAACCAUUAAUAAACGCCAUUCACCAAGCUUGUCAUUUAUAUAUUAUGUAGAAGAUGAGUAGGGUACCAAAUAUAGAGCAAGGACUACAGGUGCCAUGUCAAAUAAUGGUCUUAGCCCUAUUGGUAGUUGGUGUCUUGGAGAGAGAGGACACAUUGUACUGGGACAUCAUCCUACCAAUUCCGCUUUUUCUUCCAGGACCUAGAAAUAACUUCCUAGACUCUUUUGGAUGCAAUUGUUUGACAACCAUGUGCUUCACAAUAAAAAAACGACCUUUGCACAGUGCCAGAUUAACUAACACCUUCUACAUCAAUAGAGAAAUAGUAAGGUCCAACUUGAAUACCCCUACAUCAUCUACAAAGCCCCUAAUCAUAUUGCUUACUAUCAUGUCCUGUCAUAUUAUAUGCGUGACCUUAUCUCCAAGACCCAAGUACCUUAUAGAAUAUUUUCCUACAUAACAAUCCAAUAUAGAAACUCCAGCCCAUAACCUACAGAAUCUCAUGCCAUGCAAACUCUCACCCCUUAAUUCAGCAAGCUUCCAGUCAAUUCCUUUACAUGUGCAACUCUCCUCACUCACAAUGAAAUAAAGCUUGUGAAUCAUAGAUAAAUCUAACAUUAGCAUCUUCCCAUCCUCCCACCGAUGUAGCUCCAUCAUACUAAGGAUAUAAUAUUCAUUCAAACUACAAUGGGCACCCCUGUUAUUCCACCCAUUCAGACCAUUGCUGCUUGUAACUUAUGUAGAGAUUUGAAGAUACCCUUUCCAUAGUCCACACCCUCCCCCUACCGCUUUUAGCUCUCAAUUGCAAAGAGGUUGCAUCCUUCUCCCCAGUCAACAUAAAUCAAAACAUGGCAGAACCUCCCAAAUCAUGAUUCUAGUAAGGAAUCUAGAACUUGCCGAAGAAGGUAACAGGUGGCAAGAGAAUCACCAUCAUAUGCAUCCCUGGUUUAAGCAUUAUCCAGCAGAACUCCAACUUAGUCUAGGUCAUCUAAUGAAGCUCUAAAAUGAAACUAAAAACUUCCAGAAUAAAAUAGUAAAAAAAAAGGUUCCAGAUAAAGCAAGAACCCUGUUAGAUUUGACUGGCUAUUGAGUUUAUAGCAAACUCCAUUCCCACCAAAGGAUCAAACAAAUUAGUGAUCCAAAAGCCUCAAAAAAGCUUAAUCUCAAGAUUCAAUUGUCAAUAUCACCAGCAUGAAAGUCGAAAACUCUAUGAGAGCUACAUCUUCUCAUCUUUUUUCUUUUUUUUUUUUUGUGAGGUAGUUCCAUGCCCAUAAACCCAAUUAUGUUAGUCCAAUACAUUCCUCAAUCCCCACUAAUUACACAUCUCCACAAAAGCAAGAUUUUUUCUUUAUUUUUUUUUUAUAAUAGAUCCAUGAAGGUUUGAGAAACUCCUGUCCACAUAUGAACCUACCAAAUAUGGAGCACUAAUGACAUUUUAUGAGACUAUAAGCAACUUGAGUUAGACAUGCGUAAAUCAGGUGCUCAGCUUCACACAUCUCUGGUAGGCAAUACAGCACAAACAAGCAUGAGAACUAUGUCCAUAUACGAAUACCUAAAACAUCUCCUUAUAUCCUCCUCCUCCAUCCAUCUCUAUUUGUCUUCAAAAGCAUCACUUUGUUAUGGUCUAAAUCUUCCAAGGACCAUUGUUCUUUUCUACUUAUUUCCCAACAAAAGCCUUACCCCAUCUCAUCAUUCAACAAAACUACCUUCUAUCCAACCAGAUCAGUCCUGUUCAAUCAUGUUUCUCGUUAACAUUAUGUCUAACAUGAAAAGGCAGGGUCAUACAUUUGAGACAGAUGCAGGCAGACGGCAACACAAUAGCUGACUGAUUAAGAAACGAUGAACAAGGAAAUAAAUGUUUAUCAUCUAGGAGCAGCAAACUGUCGCCCCCUACCCUUUUCACAUAGGAAUGCUUGGUGCUUUUUCAUCCAAAACUUCCGUUUUCAUGCUCUCCUUAACUUCAUUAUGUUCAGUGAAAUAUGGAAGCAUUAUUGAAUUAUCAGCCCGCCAUUGUUUAACCUAAAUUCCAUUUUAAGGUAUAAAACCUAGAAAAGUUUAAUUUCGAGUUAGUCACCAUACAUGAAGAACAAGAAGAAUAAUCACCAUACACGCACAUAUCCUUAACCAGUUUCUUUGAUACCAUCAACUCAAAGCAUGUAGCGAAUCUUUAUAGCACAAAAAAUUUUGGAAAAAAGAAAGAAAGAUCAGCAAUCUUGAAAAUUUGAGCCGUUAAUCUUCCAAGUACGACGCAAAAAAAAAAACACGGACUGGUCCACAUUAAUACUGGAACGAACCAAAUUUCCAUCAAGAAUCAACUAGAUUUCAAUCAAGAACCAACUUCAAAGAGCCAGCAUCAAAUCUUGCAAAUUCAAGAGCAUAAAGAAAGCAAAGAAACAAAACACAAGUCCACAAGACGAGGUGGGAGGAAGGAUUACCUAUUAGGAGAGAGGCGCUGGCCUCGGGGAGGUAGUAAAACUUCUUGCGGCGGAGGACGUGGCCGAGGACGAAGGAGAGCACCAGCAUCGAGAUCUGGAGCAGGAUCCCCACCCCCGCCGCCUGCUGCUCUUUGCCCGGCGGCGGGCUUCCCACCGGCGAAUCCGUCACGUUCAGCUCCAUCAUCGCCGGCGAUCCCCCGCUCCGCUCUCACCGCCCUCUCUCUCCUCUUCUCUUCUUGAAGGCUUUCGUUUUUGACUCUUAUAAUUCUUCUCCGCUCGCCUACCAACGCUUCCUCGAGGGGAUUAAAUUAGGGCCGUCCGGCGGGUUCUCAGACAAUUAUAUCUUCCGUACGAAUGCAUAAAACAUUAUAUGCGGGAACGCAUCCCAUCCGCCGACAUUGGCACCGUGCCCGGACGCCGCGAGCGACGUCUUAUAUUGACGGACAGGAUGAGUUUUCGUAGAAAACGCGAGCGGCGGAUGUUUUUGCGCAUAAUAUCUUAUAUGCGUAGCUUUAGCUAAAUUGCGUUGUUGGGACGCGUAAAUAAUUCGCGGACUAUUCGUUCGUUGGCCUACGGCUUUGGCACCAGAGUUUCGGCGAGACUACGGCAGCGAAGAUUGGUCCGGUGGCUCCAGAUCAGAUGCGAACCGGUUUAGGCCUGGCUCGGACCCAAGACUUGGUCUCACGAGUCCGAGCUUGGGUUGUUGACCCAAAUCCAAAAACAAGUCCAGUCUAACUGGCAUGCAUUACUGGUUCUAGAUAACAAAUGGUGGAAUAAGUUUCAGCUAGCGGCAGUUCUAGCAUGAUAUAUAUAUAUAUAUAUAUAUAUAUAUAUAUAUAUAUAUANNNNNNNNNNNNNNNNNNNNAAAUUUUACUCAAAAAUCACUAUUGAAUAUUUUGAUAAUUUUUUUUUCUCUGGAUAAGUAAUAUUGUAGCGGUUACGCAAGCCCAUGCCCAUUCGGGAUAGAUAGAACUGGCUUAUAUAAUUGCAACCACCGACUUCGUUGCAACUUUCAGUGCUAAAAAAUUUCCCAAGGUCGACCAUCAAAGCCUAUGCAAAAUGGUCAGGUCCUACACCAGAUUUUGUCCACGAGGCUAAGAGCUCGGAAAGCUUAAAAAAUUUGGAGCUCAAUCGGAAAAGGCAACAUACGGAACUCGACCACCCACUGAGGGAAUCCGAUACUAUCGACCACCCACUGAGGGAAUCCGAUACUAUAGUCCACCACGAUCAUGCUAUUCUUCUCUAUCUAUCUAUGCAGUGUGUGACAUCUGCACUAGCAAACUUGUGGAUCACAAUAUUCGUAUGACAUCGAAAGAUACACGCAAUUAAAUAAAAAUAUAAAUGUGGUGGGACAGCUGAACUCCACCGCCUGAGCUAACCCACAAGUAUUGAAAUACUGUACAAGUGCAGCAACGAUCCGUCUAAUAGUUGAGAUACUGUACAUCAAUCAUCGAGUCUCCUUUGCGUGGGCUCUAUCAUCAUGCGUAAGUCUCGGUGAUUAGCCCACCGAGCCAAUUGGCAUGAUGCACGGCUACGUUGGUAAACAUGGUGCAGAAUAUGAUUUGUCCUAAUAGUUGGUGGAAGGUGAGGCUCACAACGAAGUAAUUUUACUCUUCCGACAGAAUUCUAGGAUUCCGUACUCGAAUUGUACCUAUCUUGUUAAAAGGCUCAUUCAAAUCAUUGUAUCAGCCUUAUCACUUCGGAGCUAUGCAGACACCUUAUCAUGUGUAUUACAUGCAAUGAGUGCUAGUUAAAUUCAAAACUCAUGCACGCAUUUUUUGGAGAGGGGUUGGGGUUGCAUCUUUAAGAGAGAGGCUACAAGAUGACAUACAUAAUAUAAACUGGAUGAUCUGUUUAUCACUCUCAAGUUAUGUUUCUAGUUCUGAGAAGAUGGUUAACCUACUAGAUUGCAGUUGAUGAUGUAAUCCCAUUCUCUUCUGAGACCUCUUGUAUCAUUCUCUUUAUUUCUUUUGCAAAUCUCCCUUUUAACUAAACACAAGGGAAGAAGAAAAAGAAGAAGAAGAAUAACAAUAGCAUACAGACUUCUAAGAGUGACACAGCAUAGGUAAAAGGGAACUAAGCUUUGUCUCACCCAUAAGGCCUAGCUUCUAGAGCUCCAUCCGUCAUAAAAUGAUGCCCAAUUUUUUAUGCACAAAGCCUAGAUCCAGAACUGAAGUUUGAUCUUAUAAAUAGCAAACUAAGUGCAGUUCUUUCAGGGUAUUAGAGCUACCUGACGAGCAUAAAAAGCAUUUAAAAAAGCACAAAGCUCGCAUAAUAUUGCAAGCUUAAGACAGUUAACAGUGUCUAGUAUAUAGAUGACAGUGCAUCAAUCAGGGCACAGUAUCAGGCCUCUUGCAAGAGGAUCAAAUAAAAGAAACAAUGAUAUAGUAACUCACACUCUCAUUUCAAGGUCAGGGGUUACGGCCUUCCUCUUUAAUUUAUUAUCAGUUUCUGAAUUUGUUCCAGAUUUCAUUUCUACAUCCUCACCUGAGUUUACUCUCUCCGGUUGACCAGUGCUAUCACCCUGUUCUGCCAGUUUUGGAUUACUUUCACCAUCACCAUCUGGAGCAUUUAAACCCAAGCUCAAAUUUAAAUCGGUUCCCUUGUUGUCUUCUGCAGGUGCUUCAUCCUUGUUUAUAGCCUGAAGGACAAAAACAAACAUCAAUACAUGGUUAAAAAGGGCAUCUUGGAAAAAUGGCAGCAAGUAUCUAGAUAUGCUUUUAUCUGCUUUGAGUAAAAAGAAAAAGAGCUUUUGCAAAAGUUUUAUCUCAUCUCGUGAUUUUUAAGGACAGGAAGUCUGAUGAGAUUGGCACAAAAGUGCUGGCCUAGGAAAGAUGAAACAGAGACAAAGAGGCCAUAUUAAAGGCUUUUCACACGAAUAUUUGGCAUUCUUUAAAGAGCUAUAGACUGAUAAUAAUACUUGACACAUAGAUCUGGUUGCUACACUCUUUGUACAGGUCCACAAGAAGAAGUUACUCAUGAUCAGACGCAUUUGACAUUUACAUGCACUCAUACUGAAAACUUGUACCAUGGUCCAUGUCAUGUAAAUUGCAUAAUCUGUUGCUUCAUGUAACUGCCUUAUAGACUGCAUAAUUUUGUCCUACAGAUCAUCCCACACAAGUAUCAGGAAACUGCUUCAUCAAACAAGGUAAUGCACAGCCGUAGUGCUGCACCCGAGUCAUACCUGAGUCCAUGUACAAAGUUGACAGCAUAUGCCAAUGGAUUACAAGAUCUAUUGCUUCAUCACUUUUGAACAGUUAACUUAAAAUGACCUGGUACCUCUGUGCUACAAAUUGAUUCCACAUCAUGUUCUCUGUCAAACAAGAUAAUUCAUUGAUUGCAUGGUGAUUUUCCUAUUAUUUACUGUAAAUAUGCUUCUGGACCAACUGAAUGUAAACAACCAAAAAUGGUCCUGAUGGACCUGACACUAAAAUAUGAGACACAUCGUACGCCAUAGCUGGUGGGAACAAUAACCAGAGUAGAGGUUUAUGUAUCUAAAUGAUGGUGUCUCCAACAUCCUAUUAAAGAUAAAAAAUAAAGAUGAAGGCUCAAAUUGAGAAACAGGAACUUAUAUUUAAAAGACAAAAAGAUGACAAUAAUUAUUUGUGAAAAACAAGACAACAUUUUCAUGUGCAAAACAUCAGACAAGUAAAUUGAUCUGCUUCCAAUAAUGAGAUACUGUAUAAAUGAAAUAUAGGAAAUAUCUAAUUGCCACCUGAGCCUCUUCCAUUGAGGCAUCAUUCAUAUCAGGUUUUCCAUCAGACUGAUCAGACUGGACAGCCUGUGCAGAUGGAUCAGCAUCACUUGGUUUGUUCUCCUCCUCCAACUUCACAGCAGCCUCUUGCUUUUGCUCUUCAAUUACAGAAACCUGCAUUAUUCAUAUGAUCUAAUAAAAUAUCGACAGAAAAGCUAGAAAGACUACAGUAACUUGGUCUUCUCUGAACUUUAUUUAGCCAACUAGCUUAUGAUAGACAAUAUUGAGAAAAAUGUGAGUAAUAUUCUAAUACACACAGAUAAUGACGCCAUAUGUAGUUCAUUAUCAUAACUGGUAAAGACUGAAAAGAAGCAAACAAAGUAUUAAACAACACUCCGAUUGGAAGCAUAAGCUACACUGUCCACUUCCUGUGUCUCAAAGGGUCAGCAACCAAGUUAGCUGAUCAAUAACGUAUGAAGAGGAUAAUGCGCCCCCACCUAGAAAAGACAUGAUUUGUUCUCCUGUUUCUAUGAUGAUCUAUAAGUGACCAUGGUACAAUGGAAUCUCAUCCUCUCAAUAUGCAUGUUAUAUUCACCAGCCUAAUGUAUUUCACAAUGUGCAGUUACUUAAACUUAUUUCGAUAUGCCAUCUUCAUUUCAAAUACUUUUUUUUUUUUUCUGUACAUCAAUAUACCAAUAUGCUUUACACUAAAUCAGUAAGUAGGUGUUACCAGAAAUAUGCUACAGAGAAUUAUAAAAACAACUUUAAAAUCCAAGAGACUUAAAAUAUUAAAGAGACAGAACUCAUACUCUAAAGAACCAAUACUUCCAUACUUCCUAACUCACCAUUAAAUAUCAAGCCAUAUAAAUAACCUAAAGGAAACUUCCUAUACAUGUUUUCUCCAAAAUUAUGACUCCAUUAACCCUAAAAUCCUAUGAGGAGUCAACAAAGUGCAGAGGAGAAACGACAUUUUAGCAAAAACUAUUUUGUUUGGUCGAUACAUCUAGAUUAGAUCAGCAAGCUUAUAUAUCCGAAAAAAGCCAUUGAAAUAACCUUAAGAUCUACCGAACCAUGACUCCAAAGGCCUAGUUCCUGAAUACUAGAACUUUUGAAAUAUAUAAUUCAAUCCAACUCAGCUAUAAUUCCCAUCUAUAUCUCCAUCUAUAUCCACUCACACUAAAGGCUAAAAGAAAGCUGUCAUGAUAAGCCCUCAAAAUCACAACAAUAUCAAAUUUAAAAUUUCAUAUAUUUCCUCGAAUUUCACCAUAAAAUGAAGCAACAAAUCAAAAAAUUGUUGAAAGCCAACCAGCCUAGAUUGGCGUUCAUAUUUUGAGCAAACAAUCACUGAAGUCUCUGUCAUUGGGCCAAUAUAUCAUGGCUAUCCAAUUUCAAGGAUGAUCUAGGCCACCUCAAGUCAAGGUUGGAGUAGCAUGGGCAAACAAAUAUCCAUGAAAGUGGGCCAUAGGACCACUAACUAUGUGCAAGUCAUGUGACACCAAAAUAAACCAGCACAGCUUCAAGCAUGAAAGCAAUGAGCAUGCACCCCGGACUAACAUGUGAAGCAGCAACUAAGUUGACAUCAAGUUGAUGUGAGCCUGGCUUGACUCCAUCUAUAAUCCCUAAGAAAACCUAUAUCAUCUCCAUGUUGCUUCCGCUGCUACAGCAUGGCCUUCCAUGACCAGAUAAUGGGCCAAGCCCAAGGAUGCCACAUCUAAACCUCAAUUCAGUUUGAAAUGCACCUAUGUGCCUUUUAUAGUGCACAAUAUGGUGAUCAGCAACAACGCACAAUAAGGUGAACAAGGCAGCACAUAAAGUGCAAAGAAUACCUCCAAGCAUACGGCCACCCAAUAAAUCUUUUGGAAUUGUCAGGAUUAAAGAAAGUCCAUGCAUGAUAAUUGAUCAACAUGACAAUGCUGAUCUCUUUUAUCAGCUUUUUUCUAUUAUUUUCAAUGCUCAAAAUAAUUCAACUUUACAUAUCCCUGGUUGUUUUUCUUUAGCCCUUGUUUUUAAUUUUCUCUAUUCAAGAACCAGAGUGUGUUUAGUUUUCCCUUUUAUGAAUUCUUUUUACCGAUAACUAUUCUUAUAUCUGAUAUUACUUAAUGAUAUUUUAGUGGAACAGCUUUAGCUUUUUGUCCUCACGAUAUAAAGGAAUGUCCUGUUUCCCCAGCAAGCAUCACAAGCACGGCAUGAUGCUCAAGCUUACAUCUUCCUAACACCCAAAAUAUGCCCCAACACAUCCUCCACCAAUCUCCAUUUCCUACUCUCCUAUCUCCCAAGACCUUAUCAUGGUCAAUGUACAUUCUAGCAGCAGCAAUAACGGUUCCACGAUCAAAAUAGCAGUUCCACUAUCUCACCACCUCAUCCGAAGUAAACCCUAAUCAUCAAAAUUUCGGCAGAGGCGAGAAACUCUACAACCUUCGCCAAUCCAUCAAUCCCGGAACAUCAAUGCCUUUCCAUGGAUCUACCUCAAUUGCACAGUUAAGAAAAAGACUCGUCAAACACUUCUGAGAAAUGGCAAAUCGACAAACUGAAAAAUAAAAGUUCUAAAACGAACCAUUACAUAAACAUCAUUGUUUUCCAUAAAUAAAGGAUUUUUAUCAUUAUGGUAGUUUUUUUAUAAGAAGAAUAACUAAAUGGCGGAAUCAGCCAGAAAGGAGGUGAAUCCUAACGCCCAAAAGACCAACAGAAGAAAGGCCCACCCAGUUCGGAUCCCAAGAGCCUCUCAUCCAAGAUCGAAGGGUUGUAGGUCAGCAGAUGAAAGGAAUCAGCUUACCGGGACGUAUCGGAACUUCCUCCGGGGCGGCUCCUCGGGCUGAGCGGCGGCGGAGGCGUCCUUCCCGGUGGCCGCGGGGGCGGCAGCGCUGCCAUUGCCCCGGGAGGAGAUGGGAGUCCACUUGUAGAGGACGAGGUGGGAGUGGUUGUUGUUGGUGGCGGUGCCGCCGUUGGCGGCGGCAGCGGCAGUGGCGGCGGCGGCGGCGGCGGCGGCGGCGGAGUUAGGGUUGGAGAGGGGGACCCACAUCUUCUUCCACUUCCGGACCGGUCCGCUGAAGACCGUCGCCGGCCCGUACCGGGUUGACGACCGGCCCAGCCGGGCCCCAACUCCUUCCAUUGAGCAGUAACAAGAGGAGAGGGGAAGACUGGCUUUUGGCUUUAGAGCUUCCAAUAGAAGGGCGCGGAGAAUGAAGACGACGACCACUUCGUUGUCCUUUUUUAACCCCCUUGUCCCUCUCUCUCUGGAGAAGUCGUUUCGUUUGUUGAGGAACUAGGCCAGAAGGGUGUACAUCCAUAAAAGUAUGGAGUGCAGUUAUAAAUUUUAUUUUAUUUGUAAAAUAGUUUCUUUUGUAUUAGCCCAUUUCAAAGAUUGAUAUUACAAAUAAACCCCCUGAGUUUCAUGUAACUUUUGUGCACGCUCCGACUCCAAUGGAGUCGGCCAUUCGCAUAUCAUCCUGCUACCAAUAUCGAUAAAUGGAGUUGAAAAUAAAAAGAUUCUACUGGUUUUCGGUGCCACGGCAUUGGUAGAUUGGUAGCUGUUGAACCAGACAGCCGUGAUCUAUUUCUGGUUUAGGGGGUGGAUAGACUAAAGAGGAAAGCACGCAAAUGUCCUGCAACCGACUGAGAAAUAUCACAAUGGGCACCCAAAUAAUUGAAACGACAGUGCUAGCUGCACUUCGAACAUUUUUUUUUUAAUAUUAUUUUUUAAUACUUAUUUUCAAAUCUACUUCUUUCCUAAUUUAUAUUUCAAAAUACAGUAGUUUGGCUGAAUAAGAUCCAAUGCGACGAAAUCGAGCAUGUUGAACAUACCAUUUCGGACUUGAAAUCGCAUUUUGAAUGCUUAUUUUUAAAUCUACCCUCUUUCUAAUUUAUUUUUUAAAAUACAGUAAUUUGGUUGAAUGGGAUUUGAUGCAGCGAAGCCGAACAUGCUACUUCGGACUCGAAAUCACAUGUUCAAAAUAUGAUUUCAAACUGAGAUAGCACUCUACGAUCGAUAUUUUGAAAUAUAAAUUAAAAAAUAAAACUGCAUGUUGAAAAUGUGAUUUCGUGAUGAAAUCGUAUUUUCAAUAUAUGAUUUUUUUUUUAUUUUUUUUUCAAUUUUUUUUUUUUUUUGCUUUGCCCUCUCAUGCCGAGGGAUACGAAAGUUUCGGGUACGAACAUCUUGUAUCGAGGGGUGCGGACAAAGGACAGAGAGGGGGGUGGGCGGAGGACGGAAGAGAUGAGGCCGAGGCCAGGGGGAAGGGGGAUGGUGGUCGCACGGUGUGCGGAUUCACUAGGGCCUGAGGGGGAAGGGAGGGGGGACGGUGGUCGCGCGGAGCUAGAGAUGAACGGCAGGUGUGGUGUGGACAGUCGUGGCCUGGACCUCACAAGAGGAGAGGGAGGCGGCUACGAUAGUGGGGCGAAAUGGGAGUAGGGCUUGAGGGGACGCGGCAAUCGGAUGGAGGUGCUGUGGAUGGCGCAUCAGAGGAGGGUAGGUACAGGUCGGCCGCCGAUAGAAGAAGAUGGAGGAUCGAUUGGGGGGGGGACGUGGGAGGAAGGAAAGGAAAAAAACUAGGAGAAAAAAAUAAAAAUAAAAAUAAUAAAUAUAAUAAAUUAUUAUUNNNNNNNNNNNNNNNNNNNNUUUUUUUAUUUUUUGGAGGGGUUUUGGGGGGAAUGAAGGAAAAAAAGAGAGAGAAGAUUACUAAUAAAAUAUUAUUAUUUAAUUAACAAUAAAAUAUUAUUACUUGAUUAAUAAUAAAAUAUGAUUAUUUUAUUAGUAAUAAAAUAUUAUUAUUUGAUUGAUAAUAAAAUAUGAUUAUUUGAUGGAUAAUAAAUUAUCAUUAUUUGAUUAGUAAUAAAAUAUCAUUAUUUUAUUAAUAAAAAUAUUACUAUUUGACUAAUAAUAAAAUAUUAUUAUUUUAUUAAUAAUAAAAUAUUUUUAUUUGGAUAAUAUUAAAUUAUUAUUAUUUGAUUAAUAAUAAAUAUUGUUAUUUUAUUAAUAAUAAAAAUAAUACAAAUAUGGCGUUAGACGAGCGUGGAUUAGCUACCUUAUUAUUAAUCAACUCCAACCUUUUAUUGGCUAUCGACUCAAUCCUCGAUUGUUGAUCUUUACUUCAGCAAUCUAUCUUCACCGAUCCUUAUGUCUGUCGAUCCAAAGCUCGUUGUGUGGGUUUUAUUGAAUCUGAAAUAAAUGAUAUUAUCUGCAAAGCUUUUGAAUAUAAUUAUCAUUCAAUUCAAAUUUAAUCAAAUAUUAAAAUAUAAAAUAUAUGUAAAUAAAUUUUUUGUUCUCCACGACUAGUCCUUUCUGGCACCAUCUGCGGCUCCACCCAUCCGCUACUAAUCUACACUCCUUCGAUGAUAUAUUUGUAUUAUUUUUAUUAUUAAUAAAAUAAUAAUAUUUUAUUAUUAAUAAAAUAAUAAUAUUUUAAUAUUAUUCAAAUAAUAAUAUUGAUUAUUAAUCAAAUAAUAAUAUUUUAUUAUUAAUCGAAUAAUGAUAUUUUAUUAGUAAUCUCUCUUUUUCUUUUGCCUUUUGUUUCUACAUUCCCCCCAAACCAAAACCCCCCCAUCCCUGGCCGCUUACCCACACCCACCCCCUCCGGCGCUCCACCCGCAGCAUCUUCGUCCGGCUAUCGCUCCUCCACACCCUUGCCCCCGGACCUCUGAGUCGCCUGUCCGCACUGCAUAGUGCUUGGCCCCUGUGCCUGUACACCUCCCCUCCUGUGCCGCACCCUAUGCCCCUCGUUGCCCUGGGACCCCCACUCCCCUUUCCCCACGACUCUGAUGAAGCCUGCACUCCAUGCCCCCCGUCACUCUGCGCGAACACAAACCCAUCCUCUAACCCCGAUGCUCGCACCCCACGCCCUCCGCGACCCCCUCCCCCGGCCAUUAUGCCCGCACCCCACGCCUCCCCUACCUCCUCCCCCUCCGGCCCCAGUGAAGUUUGCACCCUCGCUCUCACUCGUCUUCUGUAUUGCAUGCAUCAGGUGCAAUUAGCAGCACAAAUCUCACAGUGGAUAACACGCCAUGCGACCCUUGUAUUUCAUCCAUUUUUGAUUGCACACAUUUUACUGUACAUAUGCUCCAAAAUUUACCAUCGUGUCUCUUGUGAAAAAUUAAAAUAAAUAAAUAAAUAAAAUUACAUCUUGAAAAUACAGUUUCACUAUAAUGAAUGUUUUAUGUGCAAUUUUAAUUUUAAUUUUUAAAUUUUAAAUUUUUUUAUUAUGAUAGAUCACGUCAAUUAAAAUCGGAUGUUUUCAACUCCGAAAUUUAUGUUAUUUCGCCGCGUACGAGCCGAAUCAACCCAAAUGCCGUAUCUUAGGGAUAAGUCUGAAAAUAAAUAUUAAAAAAUAUUUUAAAAAAAAGAAUCCCUACACUUCAGGACAAUCAAAAUAAAUAUCCCACGUGGGCCUUGAUUUGACUUUAGAUACCCAGUUGCGGGCAACCGCCGAGCUAUUAACUUUUUGGUGCGCUGAAAAUGGACCGUUUUCCUCCACUUUGAUUAUCUGAAUGUCAAAAGUGAAAAAUUGAAAGAACUUUGGAGCAGUGCUGCAGCAUCCCACCAUCAUCUCACUGUCGUCCAGUAUUAUAAUUCGUUCGAACAAAGUGAUUUCAAACAUGAUGCAAGCCGAAGUCACUUGAAAACUAAAAGUGACUCACCAACUUAUGAUUUUCUACGACUCAUUUGAGGUGAAAUUGAUUAUAACUAACUCGAGUUGAAAGUGAUUCAAGAUAAUUUUAUUAAAAAAAAAGAAUUAAUCCCGCUUCUACCCCAGCUCCACACUCAAAUAUGGUAAACGGCAAAAAUAAUAAUUUUUUUCAAAGCAUGCUUGACCCAAUUGUGAUAAGAUGGAACAUCUUCUAAUACCCAGAGGGUUCAUAUCCCCAACCAGCCAAGAGCGGAAGCCCAUAAAUAAUUCAUUGAUCGAACAAGGAGAUCAAACUUGGAGCAGGACCCAGCAUUUAGAGGAUACCCCCUUGACGACAUAAAACCUGAUCGAAACCACCGAGAAACCCGUGAAUCUGCAGCUGAUUCAUUUCGCCGUCAUCACAACAUUGUAGCAACAUCGUUCUCUUUCCAAGCGUAUGAGAACAUCAGAACUGCAACCAACCCCCCAACCCGGUAACAGAGAUUCAUCUUUUAUCUAUAGCUGCUUGCCUCCGAGAUAAAUCAAUUAAAUUUCUCAGAGCAUCACCUUCUCGCUUAGCCAUCAGAUUCGGGUAUAUAGUUGAUAUAGGAAGCUUGUACCCGUCCUCUUUCAAGCUUGUGCAGCUCAACACGUAUUCAGAACGUUAAAUUUUGAAGAUGUGGAACAUAAGCACGUGAAUUUUGAAUAAAAAUUCCAGAAUAAUGAACAUUGAUAUAGACAAGGAGUUAUUUGAGCAUUACAAUAGAGUUACAGUUCUGUGAUAUGAUUCCACAAAUUACAAAAAGAAGUCGAGUUACCCCAUCCAUUCUUUCUAAAAGUACAAUCUGGACCAAAACCUGAGGAAUGCAAAAUAUUUUUACCUCAUAUCCAUGCUUCAGAUGUAAGUAAGACGUCCAUCUACAACUCCUAGCCAGGCAACACAGGAUGCACACAGGAUGUAUGAACUCUCUACGAGCUGUCCAUUGGGGUUUCACUCCCAGUUGGGGGGAUGACAUUUAAAGCACUGCUUUCCACGAUUUUCUGCUCCGUAUUCCUCCCAGCUCCAAAAACAAAAUUACUGGGAGUGGUGUUUGGACCAGUGCGUUCGAAGAUGGAUGGCAUGCCCGGCUGAUUGAACAUUGGAACUGGAGAAUUACCAAUUGACUUGGGAUACCCAAACCCGAAACAUGGCAUUGAAUCUGAUAGGGACAGAGGUUGGACUGGCACAGGCUCAUUGGAUCCAAAUAUUCUCUGCUCGAACUCCACCAACUGUUGAUGGACAGCUGCAAUUCAUGAAUCAUGAUAUAUGAGUCACCUGAUGAAAUGAGCAGUUUACACGAAGAACUGUGGCUGCUAACUCGAAGUAGGGUAACAACCAACCUACUAGGGAGACCAUAUUCAACAAAGAAAAUAAUGCUUCGUCUUCCACAAUUACAAACGAUCUUAUCGAAGAUUAAAUAGCCAUUCCCUCUGGGGAUAUGAACCAGUAGAGGUCCAUUCCCCAUCUCAACGUGGAGACGAACACACGCACGUGCGCGUGCACGAACGCACGCAUGCACAGAGGGAGAGGAAAUUGUUUCAGAUAUAAGAACCACCCUCAGUUUUGACUUCCAUAAAGAAAAGCCCAUGAUGUGUAUUGCAAGUUUAUAAAUAUCAGACUCCAUAUUCCUAAACAUCUACCGGGAAGAAGACAAACCUUGCGACAACUCCACCAGAGGCCUACGAUGCUUAACCCACUGAUAGCUUGGAGCAAAUCGCCAUCCUUUACUUUUCAUCAAGUAGGCUAUUACAAUAGCUGGUGACCUGUCAAAAGGAGAUGAUGCAAUGGUGUAUAUACAAGAAGCUUACAUGGAUAACGUAUAAACUCAGAAAUGUUAUAGAAACAAACCUAUUUUUUCCUGACAUGCAGUGAACAAGAACACGUGCCUUGUCCCUUUCACAUUGCUCUGCAUUAGAAUAUCCAAUAACAAAAUUUAAACAAAACCUAUAUCAGCUGCAAAUAUGCCAAGAGAACCCAACUUUGGUAAUGGUUAUUAUCCAACAACACAAUAGAAGUUGAAGAACAAUCACAAAAUAUAUGAAGUACGGAAUUGUGGGGGAGGGAGGGGAAGACCAUUGAUAGGUUUAAUUAAAAGAUCAGACAAUUAACACGCCUUCCUGCAUAGACAGGUUAUGCCUUAAUGACAGCACAGCACAAAAGGCAAUUAUGCAUGGAAAUGUCAUCUAGAGACAUAACCAAAUACUUAGAAAAUAAAACGAGGUUACUAGAUUACCAUAUAAACAAUAAGGCCUACAUUACCUAUAAACAAGAGUCAUCGAUCUGUCUUAUCCCUUUGUCAAAGAAUUUAUCAAAAUCUCAUCUUUUACCAUUGUGGAUCAAAACUCAGCACUCUCCUUAUCAGGCACACUUUUUAUUUUCAUUGUAUAUAGAAUUCCACUAACAGUUGCCUCUCACGAUAUCCUUUAAUAUGAAAUUUCUAAACGCCUAUAAUCAAGGUUUUAAAUCUUUUGGAACGGAGGUGUCCCGAUAUCUCUAUGGAAUGGGACACUCCACUGUUCCGUCCCGGUCAUGCAUCUCUGUCUCUUUUUUCUUCUUUUUUCCUUUUUUUCCUUUCUUUUCUUCCUUCUUCUUUCUUUUCCUUCUACAUUCUUUUUUUUCCUUUUUUUUCUUUAUUUUUGUCAUCCCUUCCUUUCUUUUCCUUUUUCUUCUUCUUUCUCUUUCCUUUCUUCCUUCUUUCUUUCUUUUCUUUUUCUACUCCCUUCCUUUCUUUUGUUUUUCUUCUUCCUUCCUUCUACUUUUUCCUUUUUUUCAUCUUCCUUUCCUCUUUCUUCUUCUUUUCUUGCAUGAAUAGGUUUUAGAGUCCCGAUCUCAUCCCGGUCCCGUUUUCUCAUAGGAACGGGAUGAGAUGGCUAGGAGAACCCCCAUCCCAUAGGGACGCAAAACCUUGCCUAUAAUCAUAGAUUAUUGUUUUCUCUCAAUCAUCUUUUGUAUACAUGGUUUAACAUUGCCAAUUAACUAGAAUCUCAUAAAUCCUUAGGUCUAACCUCUUUGUGAUGAUUAAAAAAGACUCCAAAUUUCAAUCUUCUCAACUUUCAUUAGUUCAGUUCAGCACAUGCCUCUUUUUUCUUUUUUUUCCCUAUCUUUAAGAGGCUUGUUUGUCAAUUUUUUUACAAUAUAAACCCGACAAUACAUUAGCAAAUUACAAAUUGUUCCCACUCCUUAAAUGUCAAUGGUUGCUUCUUUUGUGACAAGUGGAAAAAAAAAAUAGGAAGGUUAACAAAGGGUCUAGGCCCAUUAAAAAUGCCAAUUUAACAAUUUUUUUCACAAUUAUUUCUCAACCUUGACAUUUCUACUUCAUGCCCUCUAACCUAGCUUCAGCCCAACAAAAUUACCACCUUUUUCAUGACCUAUCAUGUGAUUUUAAGCAUUUAUACAUUCUCAUACAUUAAUCUUUCAACAAUAUAGCAAUUAAAGAUUUUAAAAUAAGAACACCAAAGGUUGAUAUUCCUAGAAUAAAGUAGCACUAUUAUUGUUAAAUUUACUUAGAAAAUUUAGCUAAUAUCAAUAGUUUAGGCUCAAGAAAAAGGCCAGAAUAAUUGUUAUGGAUAGCUCAAAUGUGUGUACAGAAGGAAAGUCAGGCUUGUGUUUCUCAAAAUAAUUUGAGUGAGACACGUGAAGUAAUAAAUAGAAGAACAAUAUAACAAGGCAGUAAUACUUCAAUGUAGUUCUGGGUCAAAUUAACAUGAUGAACACGUGUUAUGCGUUCCUAACUUUCAUGUCGUUGUAAUGACAGGAAGGUUAUAUAAACAGAAAUCAAGAGCGAACACAGUGCACUACUCAAUAUGAUGGAAUUUCUGAUGCUAAAUCCCCUGCCUACCUUUCCUCAAACUAGUGAGACCCAGACAUAUAAGAGACAUACAGAAGAAAAGUUGAGAGAAAAAAGUUUGUGAACUACUCAAUAUGAUGGAAUAUCCAGUGCUAUCUCCCCACUGUCACCCAACAGUAAAAAAGUGUACAUAUCUCAAAGUUGAUGGCAAUAGGAUAAAGGCCAUCAUUGGCAGCAUGGAGAUGUAUGAAGCAGAAGCAGCGUGGACAAAAUCAGAAAAGGAUGCAAAAGUUAGGAUGUAUCAGUAAAAAUGGUCAAAAGCAAGAGAUGUCUAAAGGUGUAUGCUUUUAAUAGUUCAUAAAGAUAAUAGUUCUUAAGGAUAACUGCAACAAUAGGAAUACACAAUUAUAAAAGUUAAUCAUAAGUCUAAGAGCAUGCAUCCACAAAUAUAAGUUAUGAAGGGUUACAAGGGACUUGACAGCUUGUUAUUUCUGUAACAAGUCAAUACAACUUGUCAUCAAGGAAAACAGUUCCAUAGUUCACAUCUUUCACUGUAAUUAAUUAAAGCAAUAUAUAAAAAUUGAACAGAUACUCAAAUGUGCAAUUAAAUAAAACUUGUGAUCUGACGUAUAUAUUAAAAAAGAAUCACAAAGCAUACCUAAAAAUUGGAUUGCAUCGUCAAAUUGUAAAUGCUUGUCAUCUUGGAGGCAAUGAUAUGUGAAAGAAUUCUUAUAUAGAUUUUGGCAUGCAGGCACAGUCUGCACAUACAUAAAACAACAUACAAGUGAUUCAGGAUAAUCUUAAAUAAUGGCAGCAACCACUCCCCUGGCUGAGAUUUAAAAGCAUAUACCAAAUUCUAACUAUAAACUCAUUUCUGAUUUCAAAUUUUUUAGAUCGAACAUGAUUGCAAUGUAAAUGAUAACAAAAAGGAACAUAAACCCAAUGAAAGGAAAGUGCAGUAUCUAUAACCUAUUUCCCAUUUUUCAUUGAGUACGACACCUAACUAAGACUAUUAUAGAAGCAGAUACAUAGUGAAUAGCAAGCUUCGAAAUAUGUUAUUCCACAGAUGAAACAUCAUUGGUUAAUUGAUGAGAAAAAGGUUGCUCAAAGCCAUGUUCAUGUUGAGGCAUUGCCAAUUUGUUGAUUUGUUUGUUGUGCAUAGACACUGGAUUGAAGCAUGCAAUCAAUAAGAUCGACAACAGCUUAAAUAAUAUAAGUAAUUUUUUUUAUACAUUCCUAAAAGAAUAAAUCUUUUAACCAGUUAUUGUGACAAAAUUAUAGAAUUCUAUAAAUACCAAAUUAUAUGACAUCUGUAUAACCUUGUAUUUCCUUCUAUAGUCAUGUGUCUAAUUUCUCUAUGUAUUAGUCUUGUUUGAUCCUCCCUUGAAGGAGCAUGAUAUAUUAAUCCUUAGAGUUGAGUCAAGUCCAGCUUCCAGUGGACAUAAUCAGUUUAGGUAGUUAACCUGAUCCUUUAAAUGUCCAAGACAUUUCCAAGUUGUGCUACAGGUCUGCUAUUAAAACAUAUAAAGACAAUGACUUCAUCUUUACUCUAAAUGAAGCAUAAUUCCAUCUUCUCUUAUCUUAAGAAAGUUUAGAUAAGGCUCUUCCCCUCCUUAAAAAAAAAAAAAACAAAAGCAAAAACAUUCCACCAGUCCUCUAUUUUCUCUUGACUGGACUAUAAAGACAACCAGAUUCAUACACAUUUUCUAAUGAACAUCACAAAAUUAAAUUACAGAAAAGGGUUCUUUAAAUAUAUAAUCUUGCAAAUAUGGAUCAUUGCACAUGUAACCUCCAAAAAAAGUCACUAUUUGCUACAUACCUUUCACAUACAUCCCAUUAGAAUUUUGGCUGACUGCAUUAACAAAAAAUUAUUUUAAGUACCAUUUCAUACUAUUACCCUUCUAUGUUAAUAACCCUAAAAAAUUUAACAUUCGGGCUGUACUAAAAAGAGCUACCUUUUUAUAUACCUUUUUAAGGUCAUUAAUGCAAAAGAGUAUUUAUUAGCACCAUCAGCCAAAAAUCUAACAGGAAAGUAUCUGCGCAAAGAUAUGAUGAUUUUAAGGGUACAAAUGCAAAUAGUAAGUUUCAGAAGGUAAUUAUGCAGUAAGCUUUUACAAGGGUAUGUAUGCCCCCAAAAAAAUAACUUUUACUAAAACUAAGUAAAUACAUUAUAUAGUGGUCUUUGAAAUGCAACAAUUUAACAGAACACCCAAAAUCCCCACAUAGCGUAAGAACUGCCUGUAAUUCCAGUUUUUCAAAUAAAAUCUACCUACACCAAAACCACCACUCCAAAAGCACACGUCGGAUUCUAUGAUGCCAUGUGAGCAUUCUUUUCCUCGUUCUUUUGUUAGCCUUCUAAGUUUUGGUAAUAGUAUUGUGGGCCAUCCAAUAUUGAUGAAACCCAAUCAAAAUGGGGAAAGGAUGAAUCAAUCUCAGAAAAAAACUGCAUUUUAUCACCAUAAAGAUAGGCUACAUUCAUGGGUGCAGCAGCAAUCCAACCUCUGUACAGCCUGAAAUCUUUCAUAAUGAACCCAACAUACAGUCAAGCGUUGAAUCCCAGCAUCCUUGCAAUUAUCACAUUAUGGGCUUUCUUUUUCCUUGUUAGCCUCCAUGGUCUAGUCAGUCACUAUUUAAACUUAAUAUGGGAGCGGACCCAUAUCUCUUUUUAUUUCAAAUCGAUUUUGCAUACUUUUCUGAAAACCUAAUCAAUAUACUGGGAAGGAAAAAACAAAAACCAAAAUACAAGUUUAUCUAACAAUAAACAUAUAGAUAUCAAAAAGAUUGUAUGAGGAAAAGAGUUUUCCGCUUUAUGCCUUGGUUGGGAGUUUGGGGAAGAAAAGAAAAGAAAAGAAAAUAUUAGCAAGGAGAGAAAGAAAAACAAAAGAAAGAAAGUAUUGGGAGUUUAAAGAAAGAAAAGAAAAUAAUUUCUUCCUUUCUUGAUUGGAAGCAAAGAAGAAAGGAAAAGAAAAAAAUAUUACAAUCUUCUUUUACUAUUACACCCUUGAAAAAAACCCAAUAAAUCCAAGAAAGGAACCGAGAAAAGAUCUUAUCUUUUAAUUUUUUUUCUAUCUUUCCUUUUGUUUACGUUGAUUUUUUCCAACUCAAUCGGAUGGGAGGCUUAGGUAGAAGGCUUGAAAUAAGCCUUAGGAUUGAAAUGUAAUAUUAAUUUUAUUCUUCAUUAGUAAAAGGGUAAGAUGAAAAUUAUAAAAGAUUCACUAACUCUUACAUAUUGUUUGGAUUGGGGGUACACAGGAGUUCAUAAAGGGAGGGGAAGGAAGGAUAAAGAAUGAAUCCCUAUUUGGCAAAAUUUUUUGAAGAUAAAGAAGGGUAGAGAAGGGUUUCCUCAACCCCUUCGUACCCCUCAAUUACUCAAUUUUCUAUACCCCCGAUUUGGGGUGUAACGGAGAGGAAGGUUCACGCUUAAUUUUUACUUUCCUAACUCAUCCUUAAUAAAAUUUUAAAAUUACAACUAGACUAUUAUAUACUCUAUCUUCCUAACCGCUCCUUUGCUCUUCGCACAACUCAGAACCCUAUAGUCGUCCCCUCAUCUACAACGGAACGGACAUUUCAGAAAGCUAAAAUCAUUCUCGAAUAGAUUCAUGUGAAAGCCAAAAAAAAAGAAUCAAAUAGAGCAGAUUUGAGAAGCAUAUUUAUCAAAAGGAACAUACAUUUGUCAAAAUAUCACAAACAUUAAAUAGUAUAUCAAUUAAUGAGAAAGAAUAUAUUUGUCAAAAUAUAUAUAAAUGUUCUUCUACUUCUCCUUUAACCCUUGUAUCCAAAUAAGGAUAAGGUAUGCACCUUUCUUUACUCUUCCCCUCCCUCUCCAAACAAGGAUUCAUUAAUUCCCUUACCCUCCCCUCUCUUCCCCUCCAUUACCCUCCCCUCCCCUUUUGAACUCUCAUGUACCCCAAUCCAAAUAAAGCAUUAAUUCCUUUCUCUCCAAUGCGCUCGAUUUGAAGGAGAAAAAAAAAUUGCAGAUUUGAGGGGAUUUGUAUUCCCUAUGUUUCUCUCCUUUUCUUUCCCUUUCUUUUAUAAAAAAACUUCCAACCAAGAGAAAAUAUUAACCUUCUCUCCCAUCUUUUCUUUUCUCUCCUAUUCUUCUCUCCCAACCAAGGCAAGGGUUCUACUCCAACUUAAUCGUUCUGCCUUGUUAUGCCCGACCAUAGCUUUAUGAAUGUACACAUUGGUUCAGUAUAGUAAUCAAAUCUUUAAUAAACAAAACUGUAUACAAAGCUCCAAUUUUUCCAACAGGAAUCUCAACAGAAAAACAGUGUCCCAAGCUCUGAUUCCAAGUAUGGAAUACUCAUAUGUCCUUAUUGAUCAAAAAUAAAAUGCCAAAGUUUCCAUUUUCACAACAUAGAGUUCCAAGAACCACUAAUUAAAGCCCGAGUUCCAGGUAACAACGAGUUACCAUAAUGAUCAUAACAAAAUACCAAAUUUCUUAUUCUUUUUUUCGAUAGAAGUACCAAAAAAAUCAGUUUAAAGCAUGUGAAUGCUUGUGAAAUCUCCCAAGAAUAGUACCGGUUUCAAGAUUUACUUACAUUAAGGAUGCGGGAGAUGCCGAGGGUCUUGAGGAGCUCCCCCCUGGACGCGUUGUCAUAGCUUCCUAGAUAGAGGAGAUCUUUGAGGAUCUCUGAGGGGAAGGCGCUGUCCUGUUGCACCGAGCGCUCCUGCGCCGCCGGCAUCCGAUGGCCGCACACUCCACAGACCUCCCCCUCCUCAUACUUGUGGUAGUGGCCGCAGACGCCACAUGGAUUCUCCCUCUCCCUCUUCCUCAUCGCGCGCAAACAGCACCGAAAUCCCUCGAAUUCUCCCAAAAAAAAAAAAGACGCAACCGAGAUCAAACCGGGGAAAAUCAAGCUACGCGAACGACACCAAGGAUCGGGAAAGGCGAUUUCGAGAUCAAGAAACGGGAGGAGAGGAUCGAAUCGAGGGUCUGGUCGUGCAGUUCAGGAAAGAAUGAAGAGGAACCUAAAGAAGCGUAGGAGGGCACUCGAGCUGAUCGGACAAAAAUCCUCUAGCGAGGUCAAUACAGAGGGUGACAUCUGGGGCGGGCCUCUUGACGUGCCACGUACACAUCUCACCAAUCUCAACAUACAUAAAAAAUAAAUUGAAAAUUACACAACGGACCCCGUUAACGGAGACUGGAAGGAUUUAGUGCUGUCCUUCGCAUCAAGGCGGUGGAUGGGAGAGAGAGCCAGACAAUUGGGUUUCGUCGAAGGGAGGAGACCCGUGAAAGAAGUCAGUUAUGAGUGAGAAACAGCGGUAUGGGUGAGAAGGGGAAAGCUGUAACCAGGGUUCGAAAAUCUUGAUCGAAGAAAAAAAAGAGAGCACAAAAUUAGAAAAAAAAUAAUUUUUCAUCUUCAACAGCGGUGGCUAUAUUAGAUCAGUCGUCUUCGAUGGCAGAGAGAAGCAAGACUACAGAUCGAGAUAGAAUUUUUCUAACUGGUACCUCGGCUAGGGGAGAAGAUGCAGUGGAGGUUGGAAGAUCCUGCGCACAGAUUAUCCAAAGAUCUAGGUACUUUCGAUGGAAAACCUCCCGAGCUUCGACGGAAGAUAUCGUCAUGCUAGAAGAGAGAUUCAGCCGGGUGGUUGUGUUCUCGGAGGAGAAAAGCAAUUUAGCUGUCUCACAGUUGAAAAUGGCUCUGCUGGGUAGGUUUCUUGGAAAAGAUUUUUUAGUAGACUUUGUGCAAAAGGAGUUUAAACUCUGAUGGAAUGUGGAGGGCAAUUUUCAGAUUUCAUCUAUUUUUGAGGGUGUCCUCAUGUUUAGACUACCUUCAAAGGAGAUAAAGCAAAGGGUGUUGGAGAAAGGGCCUUGGUUCUUGGCAGGGCAGCUACUUGCUCUGAAGGACUGACGGCCGAACUUUAAACCCAAUCAUGAUUCUAUCAAACAAACUAGGGUUUGGGUCCGAUUGCUAGAAUUAUCAAUUGAAUUAUGGGAUAAGGAGAAGAUACUGAGAAUUGUAUCAGUGGCAGGUAAACCCUUAUUCCUUGAUGAAUGUACAGAGGCAUCCUCACGUAUGGGGUUUCCUAAAAUUUGUUUGCUUAUUCUGCUGAUCAGCCGAUCUGCUUGAGAAUGAAGGUCAAGGUAAAGGAUGCUACUAUCUAGCAGGAGUUUAUGUAUGAAGAUUUAUCAAAGAUAUAUUAUACCUGUGGCCGGAUAGUUACAGUAGUAGCGGAUUAUGGCUGUUCACGGCUGCCAGAGAGCAUAGAAUUAAGCAAGUGUAUGGGCCAUGGAUUAGGGCGACCAGGAUACCAGUUGCUACCCCAAACAACAAUAAUGUGAGGCCAAACCCUAACUUGGCUAAUUAGGGGGGAUUCUCUGUGGCUCCUUGGAUGCAACCUAAAAAACAAGCAAAGAAGGCUUCGCCAACCAAAACUAAACCCCCAGAGCAGGAACUUGAUAAGGGACAAGGAUUGAGAUUUGCCCCUUUAAUGGGAGAACUUGAUGAACCUAUGGUCCAGCCAAUGGAUAUAAGUUCCUCCUCAUCUGCUCAGGGUGAUACUUCAGGGAUGGGUUCACUAAAAGAGAAAAGAAAGUGUUUACAUAAGAAAUCUGUAUCCAAGAGUGGUUCUCUAGGCUCUAAAUCUCGACCGACAUCUAAAGUGAUUGUGCGGGAGGAGGCAUCAACUGAUAUAGAGAUAUCUAAACAAAUAGUGUUAUAUUCUCCAGUAAAUAAUGCCAAGAAGUCUCAUGGGGUAAAGGAAGUUUAGAGGCCAACUGGGGGAAGAAUUAUUGAGCAAACCAGAGAAUUGAAGGCAAAGAUACGGUAUUCUAAGGCUCAAGAUGGGAGUACAAAUGACGGCAAGGCCAACCCAUCUACAAGUACAGAAUCAGGUAACCACUAUACUUAUAUCCAAAAAUUGAAGUCCGUUGUAGAAGGGGAUAAGUGUUGUAUGAGUCACUCAUCAUCUCAGUCUAGUCAGAGUGGUUUGGAUGUUGAAUGGGGUCCGUUUGGAUCUCAAGGUCCAUGUAGAUAUUUCUUUGGGGAUGUCGGGGGAUAGGCUUCCUCCUUUCCUUAUUCAUCAUAAGGAUUCUUACCUGAAACUGUCAGGGUGCUGCCAAAUCCUCAUUUGUCAAUUAUUCCAGAACUUUAGUGAGGCAGCAUAACCUAGAUAUUUGUGAUUUUCUUGAGACAAAACUAUCUGCAAGUAUAAUUAUUGGAAUUCAAAGACUAAUGAGUCCUGCUUGGGGCGUUUAUCUUCUUUCUGCUAGAGAUUUGUCUGGUGAAAUUGUAGUAACUUGGUGGGGUAGGGUAGGAGAAAUUGACUUCUAUCAUAUGAACGGACAGAUUAUUUUUGGUGUUAUUUCUGCCGAUUCUAAUCCUACCUGACUAAUGGUUGUGGUCUAUGCAAGUACUUGUGCUGUAGAGCGCACUCUACUGUGUGAACAGAUUAGCUUAGCAAAUUCUCUUCAUCUGCCAACCCUAAUCAUUGGAGAUUUUAAUUGUAUUCUGAAGGCUGAAGAUAAGAAAGACAGUAGACCUUUUAAGAUGGAUCAGUCGAUUCGGGAGUUUAGAAGAUUUUUUGAGCAAACUGAAUUUGUUGAUUUGGGUUAUCAAGGAUCGGCUUAUACUUAGUGCAACAAUCAACUGGGAGCCGCACGAGUUUGGGAGAGAUUGGAUAUAACCUUUGCCUCGGAGAGCUGAAUUGAUUUGUUUUUCGAAUCUCGAUUGUUACAUUUAACAAGAUUUGCCUCUAAUCGUUGCUCUUUGCUCCUAAAUAUUUCUGAAAGCAGGAAGAAUAGAAAGGCACCUUUUAGAUUUGAAAAAAUGUGGAUGUAUUGUGAUAGUAUCCAGCAAGCUAUAACUGCGGCUUGGAGGUGCGAAGGAAAUUACUCUUUUGGAGAUAAACUUAUUAAGUUACUACACAAUACUAAGGUUGCCAUUAGGCGGUGGAAAAAAUCCAUAAAAAAUAUUUUUACUACUACUAAAAGACUGAAUGAUCAAAUCUAUAAUCUGCAAAUAAAGGAGGCUCUUAAUGGGGGUUUAUCUUGGUCUGAGCAUCAACAAUUGUUAUAUUUACUGCAGCAAUAUAAUGCUAACUUACAUAAGCAAGAGGUCAUUUGGAGGCAAAAAGCAAAGAUUAGUUGGAUCAAAGAAAGAGAUGCAAAUACUAAGUUCUUCCACUGCUCUACAAUAUUGUGAAGAAGAAAAAAAUCAAAUUUCGAGUAUUGUGGAUGAUAGGGAUGUUUUGACUGUGGAAGAGGGAGUUAUUAGUCUGGUGCUUUUGAACCACUUUCAACUCCGAUGGCAGGCUCAAGCUGGAGUAGAUGAGGCGGUAUUACCUAUGGGCUUACCUUCAUUGUCUCAUGUUCAAAAUCAACACAUGACAAAGGAGGUCACAGAAGAAGAGAUAGUUAAAGCUAUUCGAGAAAUGAACUCUAAUAAAGCUCCAGGGUCAAAUGGUUUUCAAGCUUUCUUCUAUCAAAAAUUCUAGCAUAUAGUCAACUAAGAGGUUAUUGAUGCUAUUAAAUUCAUUUUUGCUUAUGCUCAAAUGCCAACCAGCUGGAAAAAGACUUUCAUAGUCUUGGUGCCAAAAAAAAAAAAUCCUUCUAGUGUUAAUGACUAUUGCCCCAUUAGCCAUUGUAACAUGAUUUAUAAAAUUGUGACAAAAAUUACUCCCAAGCUUGGUGUCUAUAGAACAAGGGGCAUUUGUUCCAGGUAGGAGAAUGGUUGAGAACAUUUUGUUAGGACAAGAGCUCAUUCAAUCAAUAUGGAAGGCUCUAUAAAAUCAUAGCUUGAUGACUCUCAAAAUUGAUAUGAAAAAGGCAUAUGAUAGAAUUCAUUGAUCCUUCUUAAUUAGAGUUCUAUAGAAUUUUGGCUUUCAUCCUAGAAUAAUUGAUUGGAUCUAGAUUUAUAUGUCUGAAGCUCAAUUUGCUCUCUUGAUUAAUGGUAAUCCAAUGAAUGGUUCACCACUUUGAGAGGAUUAUGACAAGUGUGUCCAUUAUCUCCAUAUUUGUUUAUUUUCAGCUCUGAGGUUCUUUCCAUCCUUUUAAAGGUUGCUGUUCACGCUUAGCUUCUGCAAAUUUUAAACCUCAGUGUGAUGGACCAUCUUUCUCACAUAUCUUUUAUGUGGAUAACAUACUCCUAAUUGCUAGGGCUACUGUAAAAGAUAGUCUAUGCCUUAAAGCUAUUUUGGAAGCUUAUUGCAAUAUUUCUGGCCAAGCAAUUAAUCUCCAAAAAUCUAACAUCACUUUUAGUUCAUCUAGAAGACUGAAGCAUACCAUUCGAGCUAUAUUUCAAAUAUCGGAGAAAAGAGGAACCUGAAAAUAUUUGGGUGUCCCUAUUGCUACCACUAGGCUAAUUGCCUCUGAUUUCACUUUUAUCCUAGAGGCUUUGAUGGCUAAGAUGGAAAGCUGGAAAUGGAGAACCCUGUCUUUUGCUGGGAGGUUAACUUUAUUACAAUCUGUGCUCUUUUCUACCCCCACACAUUGCCUAUCUUUGGUUAAUGUCUCAAAUUUUUUGCUAACAAAUAUUGAGAAAGAGUUUCGAACUUUUUUGUGGGGUCACCCAAUGGAUAGCAAGGGUAUACAUAUCAUGUCUUCGGAUCAUAUCUGUGCUCCAAAGGACCAGGAAGGCUUAGGAUUGGUCUCUUUAAGAAUGAGAAAACAAGCUUUAAUUGCCAAAUUAGCUGCCAAGUUGGUUCUCUCUCCUCAUACUAUGUGGGCUCAGGUUGUAAGUGCCAAAUAUAACUUUAAAGGGAGUUGGCAUUCUUGUAAUAAGCUAGCAAAAUGUUCUGAUAUUUGGGCUAAAAUUGCUGCAUAUGGAAAUCAUAUCCAAUUUCAGUUCAUCUAUAAUUUGGGUUCUGGUUAGAGCAUUGAUGUAAUGCAUGACCCCUGGAUUACUCUAACUCCACUGGAAUAUUGGCCAACUUAUAUAAAUAUGGAUGCUGAUCUUACCAGUAUGAAAGUGAAUCAAUUGUUGUCUCCUACUCAUAUAUGAAAUGCCGACACUCUUGCAACCAUAUUUUCUGAUGAUUUGAUAAAAUUAAUUAAUAAAGUGCCUGUGGCUCAUGGGCUAUGGCCAGAUUCUAUUGCUUGGAAGACUAGAGCCAACCAUGUUACCUUGAAAGAUAUUUUGCAGACAAUGCAUGACACAGUGACCACUGCUACAGAUAGAUCCUUUUACUGGAUAUGGAAGUUACAGAUCCCUAUGAGAGUUAAAACUUUCUUAUGGAAGUUGGUGUGGAGACGGAUCUCUUGCAAGGAAUUAUUAUAUAAGAGGCAUAUAAUUCCUACGAAUAUACAAUACUGUGACCUUUGUCUAACUGAGAUUGAGGACUGCCACCAUAUUAUGGUUGGAUGCUCAUUUGCAAAGCAGUGCUGGGAAUAUAUAGAAGCUGUGUCAUUUUGUGAUCAGGCCUUCUUCUUUGAUUGAUUUAGAAAAUACUUUGGCUACUUCUGUGGUUGAUAAUAAUGUUAAAAAUUGUAUUGCAUAUGUUAUUUGGUAACACUGGACUACUCAAAAUGAAAGGGUUUUUCAGAAUGUAAAUCAUACUCCUGCUCAUGAGGCUCAUAAGGCAUUGGCUCUUCUAUCCUAUUUAGGGCUCCUAACAUUUUCUAUGCAGGUUGGGGAACAGUCAUGGCAUUGGGAAGCUAGUAUGUCAUCUAAUUUUCAUGCAUCCACAACUAAGCAAGUGGGUUGGCUUCCUCCUACCAUGGUUUUCUUAAACUCAAUUUUGACGCCUCUGUUCAAGCUGAAGCUGGAGGCAGACAGCUGCCGCCCUCAUCGAUCCCCUUUGCUGAAUUGACAACUGUUUGGCUUGGGAUAAAGGUAGCAGUGCUUGAUUUAAAUGCUGUUAAUGAUGAAAAACUGUAGGCGGUUUAGUACAUGCAUUUCAAAAUUUUUUCGAAAUAUAACAUAGCAAAACACUCUAGAUUAAUUAAAUUAAUCUAGUAUGUAUUAGAUCUAAUCUAAAAUAGCCUAUGCUAGGAUCAAUGAUAUGACAUAAUAUGCAUACAAAAUUAGAAAGCAAAAAUCAUAGAUCUAAUUGAUAUGAUCAUUGAGUUCUGAACCAAAUAUUUGAGCGUGAGUCGAAGAUCACCAUAGUUGAUUAUAGUGGAUCUGAGGUUCUUCUAGUUGCAUGAUAGUCACAUAGAUUGUCUGGCCUCUGCAGGAUGUCUACAUAAAAUUUCAAACUGAUCGAUCUCUCGGAAGUGUUAGCUCACAUAGAAAUCCUCUUGAUGGCUGAUCUAUGCCCCUCUUCAAAUCUUACAAACUCUUUCGAAGCUGAAGAUGGAUUUAAGAGGAUGAAGUGGUGGAAAAAUGUGAAGAUGAGAUACGCUCUCUUCUCACUUUUUUCUCUUCCCGAAGCCCAAGAAUAGGAUCCUAGGGACCCACUCAAAAGACUCAUGCCCAAGAAGAAAUAAUUUUCCUCUAUUUCAUGCAUAGAAGAUCCACACCCACUCUCUAUUACACACCCCACUCAGAAGUAUUUUAAUGAUAAUCCUUAUUUAUUUUGUCGCACAAAAUGGGAUGGGAUAUAUGGUGGGCGACAAGAUGUGGAUUAAGAUAAAGAUGAAGAUUAGUUUUAAUUCAAAUUCAAAAUCCUUUUGAAUUUAAACUCAGCCAAUCUUAUCCUUAUCCAAGAGAGGGCGACAUGAGCAUGAAGGCAUGGAGUUUUUCUCACACAAAUUUUGAAUUUGUGUGGAGAGGAGAAGGGCGUGGGAUGAGGUGGCGCAAGGGGUUUUAAAAUUCAAACUCAUUUGAAUUUGAUUCAACCCAAUUUGGUCAUAAACCAAAUCAAAUUAGGUUAGACCCAAUUAGAUGACUGAAUCUAAUCUAAUUAGGUACCAAAUGAACUUGAUUAAAUCCUAAUCCAAUCAUAAAUUAAUCGAGCUCAAGUCCUGAUUAAAUCAGGAAUCAAUCUUCCUUAGCAAUUAGAUCAUCUUAUAACUUAAUUGGGUUAAACCUAAUCAAAUUCAAUUCAAUUAGAUUUGAUUUGAAUCUUAUUACUUAAUCAAAUUGAGCUAAUCAGUAUUCUAAUUACUAAUUAAUCUUUCUAUAAUUUACUAACUAUUAGUAAAUUAAUCUUUCGCAAUCUUUGCAUAAUGUUAAUCAUCAAUCAUAUUGAUGAUUAUACCCUUGAACGAUUCUCAAUCGUUGAUCAAUCAUCUGAUCAGACAGAAAUUUUUAUUGUGUGUGAUCUCAUAGAUUCAAAUCUAAAUCGUUAGCACAAAAAUAAAUAUCUGCACUAAUCGAAAUGAUUAUCUAGCAAUAAUAUCCGACGUCCGGAUAGACUGAAUGGUUGCAAAGCAACAUUCAAAAAUUUUUGGCAUAUGGUUACCGUAUAAUUCAUUCUUUUGACCCUCAAUGCUCAGGAUGACUUUAGAGUUAAACUGUUAACUCUUGAUUAAUAUAUCCGAUUUGUGUCUCAAUCUUAUAAAUUCUGUAACUCCUCACAAAGAUUAUCCUAGCCAAGAUUUUACUAAAUGAAAUACAAUGUAGCAUUAUCUCCUGAAAUCAGAAGUGGUCAAUCCCAUCUUGACUCACACAUAGACUUUGCAAGUACUUGAUUGUGUCUAAAAAUUUUUUGUUACUGAAUUAGAAAUUCAGAUAGUCCGGUACUAAAGCAUAGUGAGUUGCUUACAAGUCAUCGUGGUGAUCUCAGAUCGGAGGGAUACUUAUACCCAUAUCCUUCAUGAGCAGCUCUUGACAGCAGAGCGCUCCACAGUUUGAUCACAUUCAAUACAAAUAUACUCCUAUAAUUUAUCUGUAUACCAUACCAAUAUCUCUACAUUCAUUGAUUAUGAGGACAACUAACUCGUAUGACACACAACAAUCUAUACUUAGUAAAUGUUAUCGUCCUAGUAAUAAUGUAUCAUUUAAUCGCGAACAAAUUUAAUAACUGCACGAUAAAUCCUUCUUUAUCGAUUGAAAGUAAUUCUAAAGACUUCAUCAUAACAUAAGAGUUCAAUAAGAAGAUGUAAAUAUUUAUGAUGAAAUUAUCAAAUAAUUUUUAUUAAUUUAUAAUUCAUAUAUAAUUUAUAAAGAGUACAAUCAUUUAUAGAUAGACGAUUGACUUUAGGUUAUAUUUUCCAACAGUUAGGCUUUGGGUGGAAGGAGAUUCAAGCACAGUUAUUACUUGGUUAUCUAAUAAUUUUGCACAAGCUCGAAGCUCCUACCCUAUGAUCAAUGACUUGAGGGUAUGGAUGGACCAAAUAUAGGUUUUUAAAGCUACUCAUAUUUACAGGGGAGGUAAUGUGGCUGCUGAUUUUUUGGCUAACCGGGCUAGGCAAAUGGAUUUUAUAAUCCAUGCCCAUGACCCUGUGUGCUCUGAAUUGGCUGGUAUUCUUAUUGCAGAUGCAUGCGGAAUUUGUUUUGAAUGAUGAUGAGGUUUCAUGAUCUUCUGAUCAUCUGUAUGGAAAUGAAUGCUGUGUGUUCUCCUUGUCUCUUAUUUCUUCCACCGUAUCUCAUCUACUUUAACUAGUUGACGGCAAGAAAGAAUCAGAAGUUAAGAACCCAAUAUGCCUCGGAGUUCUUACUUUUGUGUACUUUGCUCCAUUGUUUAUUGUAUCCUAUUUAUUAGGAGUGUUGGCUCAAUGUUAUAGCUAAAGACCAGGGGUGCAAUUGGCCUAUUUCUUCAACUCAGCAUUGGGACUGGGCCACACUUACCUAGCAAUGGGAUGCUGUCUUGAAGUCUGAAAGUAUUCUUAGUGGCUUUUCUUUUGGAGGGCUCUAUUAUAUUAAACACUAUAGGGUCUGCUUGCUCAUCAGUACUAUUAUUACUAUGUUUCACUCUUUUAAUAGCUCGUAUAUUUGCCAUGGGUAUUUUGUUGGUAUAUUGAAGAUCAUUUUCCUCCUUCAUUCUAUGUUACUAACCUACUUAAAAUUGUUGUAUUGGAAGCUAUUUGAGCUAGAAAAUGGCUGUUCUGCUGCAAUUACUCUAAAAAAUAGUAUAAAUGCUGCUGUCACUAGAACUUAUUUAUGGAUAUCAAUUAUGAUCUAAAGAUAAUAUUGGCCAUUCAGAACUACUCAAUAUUUUUAUGCAUGGGUUUACAUUUAUUCUUCACCAUUAGAUGCAGAAAAUGACAGGACAAUAUUAUGAGCUGCCGAUUCUAUUUCACAUAUCCUCAAAAGCUUGCAUCAAGUCUGGUGUCAUGAGCUUGUUCUGAUCAUUGGCUUUCUAGACGCUUUUCAGCUACAUGCUCUUAUUUCAAGCAAUAUAGUUUCAUGGGCUCUUUGUCUCACUAUUGCUCCUAUUUUCUAAUAUGCUCUGAUGACGUUUGUCCUGUUGAUGAUUGUUUGCAUCAUAUAUACUCCAGCAGAUUGUCAAUUUCAAGCAAUAUGGCCAUCCUGAUGGAUGUGAUUUCUAUGAAGAGCUUGAGACUAUUGAAUUUCCUAUUUUAUGUAUUUUGCCACUCUUUCUUAUAUGUAUUCUGAGUGGGAGCUAUUCUACAUGCUGUAUGUAACUUUGAAACUUUUAUUUUAUAUUAUCUAUUAAUCUAGUAGAUUCCUUUUCUACCAAAAAAAAAAAGAAGGAGACCCAUGGUCCGUGUCCCAAUUGGCAACCGACUUAAUGGCGAUGUGUACACACCCAUUAUAUUACCAAUGGAUAUCUUAAAUUUUAUUGAUGCGUAUCUUAAAUUAAGGUAGUAAUUAUUUUCCUAAUAUGUGGUACAUGGCCAACUAAUAUACAUUGAACUUUAUCAGAGAGUUGAUUAAUAUCCAAUAAUUGAUAAAUACAUAUUUAUUAUUUUAUUAAUUUAUAUCUUAUACUUUCUCUAUAAAUAUCCCAAGCUGAGAUAAUAUAUACUCAAUAUUAUUAUUUUUUAAAUUCAUGAUAUAUGUCCAAGUAAUAUUCACCUAAAUCUCCUUAAUUAUUCAUUAAUACUUGCUUGAUUUUGUGUUGCUUCUCAAGAUCUCUGGUGAUAAACUCAACCUAUUGUUCAUAGUAUCAUCUUGACAUGACAAAGAUAGUGAUGCUAAGAAAGACUUCGAUUUCAAGUAGAUCUAAGGUCUUGAGGUUUGAUUAGAAGAGAAGAGUGACAAGGAAGAGAGGAAGCCGAUGAAGAGUUGCAAUAAUUGGUUAUGAUGGAGGUCUUUAUAUGGUCAAAGGUACACUUGUUCAUUGGAGAAGAGAGAAAAGUAGAAAUGAGAGAGAGAGAGAGAGGAGG